RNAcentral lists this long non-coding RNA (62325 nucleotides) under Sorghum bicolor (sorghum). Its description in RNAcentral is "long non-coding RNA (SBIC_LNC002182)". Lineage: Eukaryota; Viridiplantae; Streptophyta; Magnoliopsida; Poales; Poaceae. The record is from RNAcentral.
UGAUGAGGUAAAAAUGAGAGGUAUCGGGGAAAAAGAUAGCACCAAAUUUUAAGCUUUGUCAAAAAUAUCCGUGUGCAAGAAGCACUAGAAUGCUCAGAAGCUCAUCAUAAAACAGCUACAGAGCCUAUAGUUAUAGGUGAUUGGCACAUACUAUGGACGGCCAUGGACAGCUCGCCGUGGCAACGCUUGUGGCAAUCACAAAGGGACUCUCUUGUCCCUUUAAUUUCUAGUCUGUAUUCUAAUUGGAGUUACAUCUCAUAUGUGCCAUGCACCUUCAGAAAGCUAAUAUAUAACAAACUGCGAUCCCAUGUCAGAGUGUAUGUCCGGUUGAUUCUGAGCUCAUCUCACCGGCCAGCGUCAGUAGCAGCUUUGAUGUUAAUUAGGCGCUGCAUCCCUAUGCUGUUUUCUCAUUAGCAGCACCACUGCAUAGUGCAAACUCUGUUGCCCAUUGGCUGCAUCCCUAUUCCGUUGCCCAUUGGGACUGUUUUCUCAAUUCCUUUUUGCUUCUCAGCGCUUCCCCAUUGCUACCUCCGUAUAAAAAAAAAUCAAUUCCUAGAAUCAUCUGAAGUUAAACUAUCUUAUGUUUAACCAACUUUAUAGUAAAGAGCAGUAUCAUCUAUGACACCAAUAAAUACAUUAGAACAGUAUAUGUCAUAAGGUACGUAGUGAUAUUUGGUGUCACUAAUUUUAUUGGUUUUCUUUAUAAAUUUGGUCAAAGUUUUUUUUACUUAAGAUAACUAUACAAGUUGAUUUAUUUUAGGACGGAGGUAGUAUAAUGGUAGGUUUCCAUUCAUAGUCCUUUUACAAAAUGAAGCUUCUAUAGUUUCUAAAACAAAGAUUACAAAAAAAGGAUUCUCCCACUCACACGCUUGUUGUAUAUAUGCCAGCACAUCUUAGCCUUUUAAAGUUUGAUUGAUCACAGCAUCGAAGCUUGGUCCCAUGUAAAUUGGUGGCCAAUAUUUCUUUUUUGUCUGAUUAAUACUGUAAUUAUUUACUGAGUAUAUGUUAUUGCCAUGACCCGAUCAUGACAUGUUGCUGAGCAUAAUCAUCAUUGUCAUCAUACGCAUUCAAAUCUCAUAUAAAAAACAGUGCUGAAAUCUGAUUUCAUACUGCUGACUGUUGGUUUGACGGAGGGUCUGCCACCCACAGCGAAGGGUCUAUCACUCCAUCUGCACGGACUAACAAGAGUCCAGUCUCUGUCAGUAUAAAACUUAUAGGUGACGAAGAGUCUGGCGCCAGAACCACCAGAUGGUCCGUCAACCCAUCCUAUGCCGUGAACAUGAGGUGUUACUUUAGGAGUAUCCUUGGCCCACCUGUCAUACCAGCUGUCCAGCUCACGAAAACCCAAACCCCAGAGCCACAGCAGCUCAUCCAUUCACUUUCACACUCCCUCUCUGUCUCUCUAGUUCAUCACUCUCUCUCUCUCUACACUCUCCCACACCAAAGAAACAAGGAGAAGGAAGAGAAAGGAAAGGAAGGGAGAUGGGAGGCUGCUGCAGCUGAAGAUGAAGAUGGAGAUCACCUAGAGGCAGCCAUCCAGAAGAGGUAGGGAUUAGAAGGGGAAGGAGACCUCUCACCAUCACAAUUUGGAGGAGUUAAACAAUGGAGCAAGAAGUCGAGUCAUCAACGGGAUAUCCAUCACUUUGGGAAGCUUACAAUCUUCUUUUGCAGCCCUUGGUAUGAAGCAAUUCAAGCUAAACCCUAGUUUCACUUCUUAUGAGCACAAAACCUAGGAAAUAUCUAUUUGAGACCCAAUCUUGUUUGCACGCAAUGUAGCUUCAACUACCUGGUUAGAUAUGCUCUAGAGUAUGCUAGGAAGCUACCCUAAAGAUAGAUUUCACAUGCAAGCUUUUGUAGACUAAGUUUUAGAUUUUGAGUUGGUAGAAAUAUGCACUGACAGAGAGUCCACCCUGACGGAGGGUCCAUUACUACUACUGCAACCCGACUGCUUUACAGUUAAAUUGAACAUUUUAUAAUUCUAUGGAGAGUCUGCCAUCUUUGAUGGUGGGGUCCGUGGAGUUAUAUUCCCAAGACUGAGAGCCUUAGACUACAGAAUUUUCUUAAUGGAGUGUCCGUGGAUAGCCACAGAGUGUCCGCUGAUUUAUAGCCAUGAAUUUUAGAGAGACAACCCGAGAGCAGCCAGUUUGUGGUGAGGCUCUGUCCUUUGUGGCAGAACCUUCCGCUGAAACAUGAACACUUAGAAGACUAAGUACCCUACAUACUUGUUUUGACGGACAAUCCACCACCAUGACGGAAUAUUCUGUUACCACUAUACCAGAGAGCACAAUUCUUCCAAGGCCACAGAAUUCCUGUACCGGAACGUCUGUGAAUUCUCACAAAGAGUCUGUUGAAUUAUAAAAUAGCAAUCCCAAAGUGACUAUCCAAGUGUUGCGGAGUGUCAGUGCCUUGUCACAGAGGAUCCGAUAGCCCCAGCUAAGUACCCAUGUUUGCGGACUGUUCGACUCAUAUCAGAGGGUCCAUUAACCCAAACCGACACCCCAAGUGCACAACACACAAACACUUAACACAUGUGAUCAAAGGUUAAUCAAAUAACAUCAAUGCAUCACAUAUCAUGCCAUUUACUUUAUACACUUCACAAGGAAGCCAUUGUAGAAGAAGAGCCCCAAUAGGCAGAAGCCAAUGAUGAGCCAACCAAUGUAGCUCAAGGCAAGUCCCUGUGCAUCCCUAUGCUUUUGCUAAAUGCAUAAUGAACUAUGGUUAUCUGUUGCAUCGAUAUGUUACUAUAUGAUCCAAUUAACCAUGAGUUAACUAGUUGAGUUAUCACACCUUGAUGAUACAACACCACUUAACCAUUGUUUGUUUCCUUUUAUUAAUUCAUGCUUAGUAAGAUCAUAAGUCGAGUUAAUGAUGGGUUUCUCAUUACUCGCGUGAUAUUAGCUAGGCAUGUUUUAAGAAACACUCAUUGAGAAUGAUCUAAAGCUUGACCAAUCAUGAACUAAUGAUGUUGAAUAGUCGGCGAGGGGUUGGGUCAUGGCAAGAAGGUGGUGAUCUUGAAUGAUAUAGCUUGCUAACCGGUUAAGGACUAUGUAACCAUAAUAAUGAGGAAUGGACAAAAAAUGUACAAACUCACAAAUGGGGGUGACAAGCAAGUGACUAAUUAUGACUGGUUUGUUUGUGAAACUAGCAUGAGGGUAGCUCCAGGUAGAUGGUGGUAGCUUUACCUGAGAACUUAUCAACCCUUUCAUGAACAUUCUUGGACAGAUUGGGAAAAGGUUGAGACAUCGAGGUAUCCCUUACGUACCGAUGGGUCGUAUGAGCAAUAUCCCUUGUUUUUGUAUAAAUGCUUCACUUGCAAUUGCUAAGUUCGUAGUUAACAUUUAUCAUUCUUGUAUAAAUGCUUUUGUGUGCAAAAUCAAAUGUAUUCCUUGCUACUAGCCAAAUUGCAUGAUCCUUGUUUAUUAUAUCGGGUAAGUCCUGCAGGGUACAAUUGAGUACUCACCCUAUGUGAUCUUGAGUUUUGCAGGUAGUUCAGCCCCCGUACAUGGUUUCUUCUAUGCCCGAGUCCUAGUCAGAUCAGGAGUGGUAGAGAGACCAAUGUCUCAUAGAUGUGUGGUGGUGGCACACCCACACAUUUGUUAUCAUGAAAACUAUGUUGAAAGACUUCCGCUAGACUCUGGUGGUAGUAUGUAAUGUGUAAACUUGUGUUAUGAACUAAGUGUGUGAAGUCCUGGAUUGUAAACUUAAGUAUCUUGAACUUGUAAUAUGACCUAGCUGUGGUCGUGAUGUAUUCUCUCUCUUUGGUUGAUCCUGGGUCAAGGCUGGUAUUUUAGUACAUCUUAUGAGAGGUGUACCGGGAUGACCAAUUAAGUGAAGUGUCUAAUUUAAUAGUCCUCGGACAACAAUCAUCUUGGGUACUCGCUUAAGAGGGCAUUGGUCCUGAUAAUUGUUGAAGGCAAAUUUGGCUAGAUAACACUGAAAGUGAGGCUGUGCAUCAGAAAGUUUAAUUGAACGGCAGGCACUAACAAAUUUGCUAGCACACGUCCAUCAAAAUACUGUUUUUUUAGCUGACAACUAGGAAGGGCAAUAUCUGGAAACUAGUUAAGGUCCGGUGCCCUUGAGCCAGGGAGUCCAGCUCCAAUAGGAAAUGCGUCGGUGUCUGCUUUGAUCAGAGUGAGGGCCGGGAGUGUACAUAUAUGUAACAAUGAGGGGAAAGGCGCCGUUGCCAGGGUAUAGUAUAGCUCGAUGAUGGCAGUCUUUUGAAGCAUGGAGCUAGCCCAGUUAGUGACCAGGCCAUCCUGGUUGCCUGUGGAGGCCAGGGACAGUUCGUGGAACCGUGGUGAGGGUCAGUCAUAGCGCAUCCUACAGGCUACAGCUACUAAAGACCAAGGCACAGUAAAUCACAAAAAAUGGACCAAGGCACAGAACUGGAGAACAAUGGAAAUGAGAAGGCAAAGAAUAUGAGAGGACCAAGGCACAGUGAAUCAAAAAAAUGGACCAAGGCAAAAAAAUGCAAAGAAGGCAAAGAGCUAAUGAUGGAAAUGAGAGGCAUCAAGAAACAAGAAAGCACAUGGAGAUGGAAACCAGGAAUUGAUCAUGCUAACAUGCAUUAGAAAAUAGUUAACAUUAGAAAGACGCAUGGCUUUGCCGCGCUGUUCAGUGAAGGGGACGCCUUGUAUUGCUAGCUCGGAUCCGAUUAUCCUAAGGCUGUCAUUGUCCGGCAAUUCCAGAGGAAAUGAUAGAAAACUGUUGCUUGGGUAGUGUAGAAGUUAGCAAUGGUGUCACUGUCAGCCCACCUGCUUUUCCUUUAUCUACUUUUCGUACUGGUCCUUGCUGUAUAUUAGGUUUUGUUCCGGCCUAAAUUUAGAUGCUCUAGCCAAGUAAUUUAAGAACAUAAGGAAGGCGGAUGCUUUGCAACUACUUGUAGUGAUUUUCAGGGCUCAAAUUAGAUGAUCUAGUUAACACUGCCACACGUUCGGGCAUUAGCACCGGUCGGGAAGGGCCUGUUGCCCCGGUUCCCGAGCCGGUGCUGCCCUUCCGGGACUAAAGGCCCACCCUUUAGUCCCGGUUCCGUUAACCGGGGCUAAAGCCCCCCUUUAACACCGGUUGGUAACACCAACCGGUGUUAAAGGGUCCUGCCAGAGCUGCCACGUUGCAGGACCCUUUAACACCGGUUGGUAUUACCAACCGGUGUUAAAUGGUUUCUUUUUCUUUUUUUUUGGUUCACUUCUUCGGUUCUGUUUAUUGUUUAUAUAUAAUAUAUAAUAAUAGGUUUUUCAAUACAUGUUUUGCUGAUACAAUAAUAUAUUUAUAUUACACGCAUAUUAAGCAUAUAUAAAUGAAAAUUGUAGGCUAAGCUUAAUAGUUAAGCUUUGCCUAUAAUAAAAUGAAUAGACCACAUCAAAAAUUAAAUAGAUAUGUAAAAAGCUUUACAUAUAUAUAGUUUUAUAUGUACAAAAUUCGUAACACAUAUAUACAUAGAGUUUGUUCUCCCAAUGUCUACAAACGAUACAAAUGAUCAUCGUUGUUUGGUAUAAGAGUUUCGUUGCCGUUGAAGUGAAACUCGCCGUUUGGAUUGAUCACUUGGUCGCGGAGAAAUCCUGCUAUCGUCUCUUGGAUAGCUUUGAUUCGGUCUUGUUGUAGGACCUUUUCCCUCAGCCAUUCCGUCUUUAAUUUGAAAUAAAUAAAAAAGGUAUUAGUUAUCUAAGUUAUUCAAUAUAAUUCAGGAGAUAAUGAAAAGAGACAUGUAACGUACUCUGAGCGUCUCUGUGGGUGUUUGAUUGACUUGUGCCAUCAUGAAUUUGCACACAUAAUAUGCACAUAGAUUGUUCCCUCCUUCUUGUCUUAAACACCACUGUACGAUGUAUAUAUAUAUAAAAAUAUUCAUAACCACGACAAUAAGAAGGCUAAAAGUUACCGAAAGUUUGUUAGCUAGUAGAACUUACUUGUGGAUGUAUUAUGUUAAGCGGCGCUUUACAUCCACUGAGAUGUUCACGGUCAAUGAAUCUUUCCCAAACCCUAUACACAGCCAUUGUGGAUCGUGAACUAAUAAUUACAGAGUCAUAUUAUGAUAUUUUUGUAGCUGAGAUCGACAUUACGUACCUUUGAAUAAUGUUUACCAUUUGUUGAUAAUUUUCUUGUGGUUUUCUCAUUGAGUCAAAGAUUAUCAAUCGGUUCUUGGGAAUUUCAAUGACCAUGAGUAUCCAGUGAAAGCUGUUUACACACACAUAUAUAGGGUCAGUCCUAUAAUGUAAAAUAAAAUAUGCAUGCACUUAAUAACUAUAUAACUCACUCGAAGUUGAAGGGGAAGAGUAUUUUUUGUUUUUCUUUUUGGUUUACAAAGAACCUCAUAAGAUUGGUGCAGAUUUCUGUCUCAUAAUCUGCUGUCCACACUGCCUGCGGAGCCUUGAAAACAAUAUAAGGGUCAACGAACCCAAUACUAUUGUCAUUUCUCAUUCUGAGCUCUCUCAUUUGGUGCCUGCAUAUAUACAUACAAAUCCUAAGUGUGUAAGGAUUAUAUACAUGUAAUUAAAAAAGUUAGAAGUAUAAUAAAAAGGAAAAAUACUUACAGACAAAAGCAGCUGACAAGAGAUUUGUCAAGAGCGUCGAGGUGGCAUAAUUGGUGCAAUUCUUCGAACUGCACGUAUAUGAGGUCAUCUCCACGGAAGUAGUGAUGUUGUCUAAUACGAACAGAAAUCCAAUUCUCUCCCCUUUUAGACGCCUCAAUGCACCAUUUGUUUAUUGCAAACAUUUGUGUGCCGAGCUCGUGUAAACGCUUAGGGUCGAAUAGACUCCUGCCCGGUUCAUAUCUUGCCCUCCAUUGAUCAACUACCUCGGCUUUUUCAAAUGUAUGACAUCCAAGAAUGGCGGUAAUUUCUUCUAUAUUUAAACCGCUCUGUCCAAAGUAACUCUCAAGCGAGUCUAGCUCAGACAACGCUAAGGAUUUCUUUGGCAUCAAGUCUUCAUUUGAGCCGUAUUGAUUUGACACAAUCAAAGGGGGCACCGGUUUUGAUACUUCUCCGAGCUGUGGGACCCCCUUUCCUACUCUCUUCUUAGUAGGCUGUGAAGACUUGACCAGAGACCGCUCAUAGUCCGAAAGUGCUGGCUUUUUCUGAGCUUCGCGUUGCUUCUUUUGAUGGUCCGCCACCUUCUGCCUCAGUUCCGAUGGCUUCACAUAAAAGUACGGCUUUUCUGGGUUAAGCCGUUUUUUCCUUUCCUCCUUUAUUUUAUCAAAAAAUUGUUGGACCUCAGCUUUAGAUGUAGCAAUUACCUCCUCUUCACUCUUUUCGUAAGGUAAUUUUUCUGGCGUCUUAGCUCUCUUUGCUGAGGCAGCCUUCUUUGGAGGUGGGACCGAUGACUUCGGUCCUUCUUGGACGGACCGCUUCUUACUACCUCGCUUUGGAGGCGAGGGGACCGACCGUGCACUCUUUGGAGAGGGCGGUGCAUGCGGUGGAGGGGGUGGGGCCGAUCUUUUUGGCGUUGGAGAACGCGGUGGAGGACUUGGAGAACGCGGUGGAGGAGUUGGAGACCUCGGUGGAGGAGGUGGAGACCGUGGUGGAGGCGGUGGCGGGGUCGGUGUGGCCGCCGCAGGUGUUGGAGGAGAUCCAGCAUUGUCACCGCCCGCAGCACUAUGAUGCGCUGGGGAGAGAACUGGACUUAGGUUGGAGGAGUCCCUGCAAAGAAAACAAUUACAAGUUUUGUGAGUAAACUUUUUUUAAAUUUCAAUACAUAAUAAAUAAUAUAAGAAGUAAAAUCACACACAAACCUAUGCUGAGGAAUAAUUAUGAAGCGCUUGCGCCAACAAAUAAAUGUCUUCUCAGCUUCACCUAAGGUCUUCUCUCCGUCUCCCCCUUCUAUGUCUAGUGGCACAUUGUCACAACCUUUCUCAACCCUAUCAACCGAGACGCUAGCAUAUCCACCAGGUACUGGUCGAUUAUGGAUUCUUGGAGUGCCCGUUCGGUCGAUAGGGUUGACAACAGCGAUAGCCACCUUUUUGGUGGCAUUCCCAUCUGGUACAUGCAGCUCACAGGUAGUAAAAGCCUCUGUGACAUCAUCCACGGGGAAGUGUAGCUUCGUGUCAUCCUGAAUGGUUGGUACUUCCGUGGAUGCGCAGCUGCUUUUCAAUUGGCCUGGGGGGCUAACAUUGACCUCAGGCUGUGAUGUACCUUGCCCUUUCGUCAUUUGACUAAGUGCUGCUUGCACUUGCCUUUGAAUCUCUGCCUGCAUCCAUUCUUCACGAGCUUUCUCGCGCUCUUGUGACUGCAGAACAAAAGCUUCCAGGCGGCGGAUCCGCUCUGCCUCCUCAUCCUUCUUUCUCUGGCGGCUUCUGUAGGUAUCUUGAUCGGCUUGGAAUGAUUGCAGCCACGGAACUGCCCCAUAGCCUCUCGUACGCCCACCGUGCUCAGGAUUUUCAAGCGCAUAGGUGAGUUCAUCCUUCUCCCUGUUAGGCCUGAACUCACCAGACUGAACCGCCUCUCGUGCACGGACUAGUCUCUCUGCUGCUCUAGAGAUUUCUUGGCCCCAAACUAGCGCCCCGGUGUCUGGGUCCACGCUUCCCCCAUGACCGUAGAACCAAUGCUUGGAGCGCUCGCUCCAAUUCUUUGCUAUUGUCUCGGGUGUGACCCCCCUAGCAAGCAUCUCCUGUUCCAUUCGGUCCCACUUGGGAGCAGCACUCUUAUAACCACCUGAUCCCAUAUGAUGGUGGUAUGCCUUUUUACUGGCAUUCUCUUUGUUUCUAUUGGCUCGUUCCUCGCCCUCUUCUGAUGUUUUGUACUGCACAAAGUCAUCCCAGAAGGCCCUCAGCUUUACAUAUUGCUUGAGGUUGAAAUCUGGAGUCUCGUUUUUCUUGACAUAUUUAUUGUACAAAGACUUCUUCCAAUUCUGGAAGAGUACUGCCAUCUUCUUCAUAGUCCAGUCAUAAAUUCGCACCUUCAACUCUUCAUCGUUGGUGUCGAAGGUGAAAACGUCUGUGACGGCUUUCCAAACUAACUCCUUGUCACGAUCAGAGACAAAAUUGAUCUCAGGAGCACCUCGCUUCUCUCUCCAUUCACGACAACUGAUCGGUAUUUGAUCUCUCACAAUAUAUCCACAGUGAUUAACAUAUUUAUUUGCAUGCUCACCAAGUGGUCUGCCUGUAGCUAUCUCAAACUCAGAGAUUACAUAGCGGCCCUCCAACGGCUUCUUUGGCCCUCGUGGAGGUACGCUUCUCCCCGUAGAGGUCGAUCCAGAAGGCUACACGUACAUAUAGAAACAAAAAUACUAAAUUAAUAACCAAGUAAUAAGUCUAAAACCUAAUGUAAGAGAUGCAUUAUUUAUAUAUGUUUACAUUUACAUACCUCGCCAGUAUUUUCUUCUUGUUGCACGACAAGUUGUUGCUCAGGGGCAUUGCCCUCUUGUUGCUCAGGGGCAUUGCCCUCUUGUUGCUCAGUAGGAUUGCCUUGCAUGAUGUCGUGGUAAUCAACGAAGUACUGACUACCGUCGUCGAUUAUAUUUUGAAUGGCAGCUUCCAUAUAAUCAGGAUCAUCAUGAGGACGGUCAGCCAUUUCUAUGUCUGCAACCAUACAUAUAUAUAUUCUAUAUAAGAUAAGAAAUACACUAAUACUACUACAAAUGAAAGUGUUGGAGUGCUCUAAAAAUAAUACUAGGAUCUUUUAAGCCAAGUAAUACAUUAGAAUAAAAACAAUACUAGAAUAAUAUAUAGUAGAAACAAAAAUAUAUACAAAACCCUACUAGAAUAAAUUUGGUGGCUAAACACUACUAGAACAUAUAUUAGAGACUUAUAUACUACUACUAGUACUACUACAAAUGAAAGUGUUGGAGUGCUCUAAAAAUAAUACUAGAAUCUUUUAAGCCAAGUAAUACACUAGAAUAAAAAACAAUACUAGAAUAAUAUACAACAAAUAUAUACUAAAAAAACUACUACAAAUAAUAUAUUAAAAAAAUAAUACAUACAUACAUACAAACAAUUAUAAUUCAUACAUACAAACUAUAUAUAUGUGUGUAUAUAUGUACAAAAAAUAAUAUACAUACAUACAAAAAAUAAUACAUAUAUACAAAAAAUAAAACAUACAUACAUACAUACAUACAUACUAUAUAUAUAUACUACAAAUAUUAUAUUAAAAAAAUAAUACAUACAUUCAUACAUACAAACAAUUAUAAUUCAUACAUACAAACUAUAUAUAUGUGUGUAUAUAUGUACAAAAAAUAAUAUACAUACAUACAAAAAAUAAUACAUAUAUACAAAAAAUAAAACAUACAUACAUACAUACAUACUAUAUAUAUAUACUACAAAUAUUAUAUUAAAAAAAUAAUACAUACAUUCAUACAUACAAACAAUUAUAAUUCAUACAUACAAACUAUAUAUAUGUGUGUGUAUAUAUAUGUACAAAAAAUAAUAUACAUACAUACAAAAAAUAAUACAUAUAUAAAAAAAAUAAAACAUACAUACAUACUAUAUAUAUAUACUAGAAUAAUAUAUUAAAAAAAUAAUACAUACAUACAUACAAACAAUUAUAAUUCAUACAUACAAACUAUAUAUAUGUGUAUAUAUGUAUAAAAAAUAAUAUACAUACAUACAAAAAAUAUUACAUAUAUAUACAUAUAAAUAUAUACAAAAAAUAAUACAACAAAUCAAAACACCAUAUAUACAUAUAUAUAUACAUAAAAAUAUAUACAAAAAAUAAUACUACAAAUCAAAACACCAUAUAUAUAUAUAUAUAUAUAUAUAUAUAUUGAUUUGUAGUAUUAUUUUUUGUAUAUAUUUUUAUGUAUAUAUAUGUAAUAUUUUUUGUAUAUAUAUUUCUGGUCUAGCUAAUGUAUAUAAAUACAUAAUUAAUCAAUGGCGUUCUCGAUCUAUACUUAGCACCGGCCGGAAGAAGAUCGACGUGGGAUGUUUUGGAGGCCCGCGCGCUCGAUCUGGCCGUGGCCCGCGGCGGCGGCGUUGGAGGAGGGGCGCGGCGGCGCUGGUGGAGAGCCGCGGCGGCGCUGGUGGAGACGGUGGUCGCGGCGGCGAGGGAGUCGAGAAACGACGGCGGCGAAGACGAUGAACCCGGCGGCGCUGGAACGAAGACGAAGACGAAAGAAUUGCCGGAUCCAGGGCGCCUGUGGCUUAUAUAGGGACGGACCCUUUAGCACCGGUUCCAGCCACGGACCGGUGCUAAAGGGUCCAGAGCGCGCUAGGGCGGGCUCCUGAAAUUUUCAGGACCCUUUAGCACCGGUUUCCACUAUGGGCCGGUGCUAAAGGCCCAUUUUUUUGUUUAGGGUUUUUCAAUUGUUUUAUAUGUACAGUUUAUAUUAUAAAUUGUAUAGUAAAUUAAAUAUUUUGCAUAAUGUUUUUUAAACAGUGACAUAUAUUGUAAUUUGUUUUAAUGUACACAUGAAAAUUUUUAAACUUAAAUAUCUUAUUGUAUUUUUAUAAUUUACAAUGAUUUUGUAAGAAAUGUUUAGUAUUUUGUUAAUGCAAAAAUAUAUUAUUCCAAUAAAUUUACAAAAACUAUAUCCAAUGAACUGGAAAUUUAUUUUCACAUCAUAUUGACGUAAAACUUUUUAUUUUUGUUAUUUAUUACUAGGAAUGCUACUUGGGUAUAAUUUUCAUCAAAUAAAAAAUCAUAUAAAAAUAUAUAUCUUGAUGAACACACCCUUUGAACGAACCCUAGAUUGUCCCAAAUGGAAAAGUCAUGAAUACAAAGUUUGCUACACUCAUCAAGUUCUACAUUUUGUCUAAUGGUCAACUUUUCAUUUGGAAAAGUUUGAACCACUGAAUUUUGAAUUUUCAUGGAACUCAUAGCCACGCAGCGGUUUCGGAACCCUACAUGGUCUCGAAUGGAAAAGUCAUGAAUACCAAUAUUGUUCCACUCAUCAAAAUCUACAUUUCAUAUAUAGACCAUUUUUGCAUUUGACAAAGUUUUGGGAAGGUGUAGUUGAAAAUCCACAAUUGACACAUAUAGUUUCAUAUAGUUUGUGUGAGAACUUAGAAUUGGUGGGUAUUGUUAACUUAGAUUUUCUCAAAUGGAAAAGUUGUGUAUAUAAAAAGUUUAGAUCUUGAAGAUAUCUAACAACUUGGUAUUCAAAAUAUUUUCAUUUGAAGUAAUUUAGUUUGUCAUUUGACCAAGUUUGACCGAAACCCGUCUUGGAUUUUAUAGAAAUGUAACUAGAAUUGGCUCAAAAUUAUCCAAAUGGAAAAAUGGACAAUAUAUAAAAUAUAGAUUUUGAUGAUCUCUAACAACUUUGUAUUCAAACUUUUUUCAUUUCAAGUCAUCAAAUGGGCUAUUUGACCAAGUUUGACCAAAGUCAAAGCAUUGGUUUUUACAAACACACCCUUUGACCGAACCCUAUAUUGUCCCAAAUGGAAAAGUCAUGAAUACAAAGUUUGCUACACUCAUCAAGUUCUACAUUUUGUCUAAUGGUCAACUUUUCAUUUGGAAAAGUUUGAACCACUGAAUUUUGAAUUUUCAUAGAACUCAUAGCCACGCAGCGGUUUCGGAACCCUACAUGGUCUCGAAUGGAAAAGUCAUGAAUACCAAUAUUGUUCCACUCAUCAAAAUCUACAUUUCAUAUAUAGACCAUUUUUGCAUUUGACAAAGUUUUGGGAAGGUGUAGUUGAAAAUCCACAAUUGACACAUAUAGUUUCAUAUAGUUUGUGUGAGAACUUAGAAUUGGUGGGUAUUGUUAACUUAGAUUUUCUCAAAUGGAAAAGUUGUGUAUAUAAAAAGUUUAGAUCUUGAAGAUAUCUAACAACUUGGUAUUCAAAAUAUUUUCAUUUGAAGUAAUUUAGUUUGUCAUUUGACCAAGUUUGACCGAAACCCGUCUUGGAUUUUAUAGAAAUGUAACUAGAAUUGGCUCAAAAUUAUCCAAAUGGAAAAAUGGACAAUAUAUAAAAUAUAGAUUUUGAUGAUCUCUAACAACUUUGUAUUCAAACUUUUUUCAUUUCAAGUCAUCAAAUGGGCUAUUUGACCAAGUUUGACCAAAGUCAAAGCAUUGGUUUUUACAAACACACCCUUUGACCGAACCCUAGAUUGUCCCAAAUGGAAAAGUCAAGCCGACACAACAGUGAACUUCUUCUUGACGUAUGACCCUUGGUUAUGAUCCUGCCGUAACCAUGGAGUAUCCUCAUUGUUUAACAGAAUGCUUGGGUCUUUGUUGACUAUGAAGGGCGGAAUUCGAUCAUCCCUUUCGUAAUCGCCUGACAUGUCUGACUUGUCCUCAAUUCCGACAAUGUUUCUUUUCCCAGAAAGGACAAUGUGGCGCUUUGGCUCAUUGAUGAUUGAGUGGUCAUCAUUUUUUCCUCUCUUUGGUUUCGUAGACAUAUCUUUGACAUAGAACACCUGACUCACGUCUGCAGCAAGGACGAAUGGUUCGUCUUUGAACCCACUAUUGUUAAGGUCCACGGUUGUCAUCCCAUACUCCUAGUCGACUGUUACCCCACCUCCGGUCAUCUUCACCCAUUGGCACCGGAACAAAGGAACUUUAAAAUUAGCUGCAUAGACUAGUUCCCAUAUGUCUUCUAUGCGUCCAUAAUAUGUUUGCCUGUUCCCAUUUGGAUCCGUGGCAUCCACGCGUACACCACUAUUUUGGUUGGUGCUCCUUUUAUCUUGGCCAACUGUGUAAAAUGUGUUACCAUUUAUCUCGUACCCUUUGUAUGUGAUGACAUGCCAUGAUGGUUGCCUGGCCAACAAAUAAAGCUGCUCAUCAAUGUUUUCAUCACCUUGACAUUUUUUGCGCAACCAAUCGCCAAAAGUUUCCAUGUGCUGACGCAUUAUCCAAGCUUCAUUCUUCCCGGGCCACUGGGACCGUAGGUAAUCUUUGUGUACCUCAACAUAUGGUUCCACCAAUGAGGAGUUCUGGAGAACUGUGUAGUGUGCUUUAUUGAAGUAAUCGUUUCCCGUACCAAUAUAUGUUUUCUUCCCAAGUGUUCCCUUUCCGCUGAGUCUGCCCUCGUGUCGAGAUUCAGGAAUGCCAAUUGGGUCAAGGUCUGGAAUAAAGUCAACACAGAACUCUAUGACCUCCUCUGUUCCGUAGCCCUUGGCAAUGCUUCCUUCUGGCCGGGAACGACUAUGGACAUAUUUCUUUAGGACACCCAUGAAUCUCUCGAAGGGGAACAUGUUGUGUAGGAACAUAGGACCGAGAAUACGAAUCUCUUUGACCAGAUGAACUAGGAGGUGUGUCAUGAUAUCGAAGAAGGAUGGAGGGAACACCAACUCAAAGCUGACGAGACAUUGAACGACAUCAUUCUGCAGAGUAGCUAGUUGCUCUGGAUUGAUUGCCUUCUGAGAAAUUGCAUUGAGGAAUGCACAUAGCUUUACGGUGGCUAGACGUACAUGUGGAGGUAGAAUUCCUCUUAAAACGACCGGCAGCAAUUGCGUCAUUAGAACGUGACAGUCAUGGGACUUCAAGUUCAGGAAUUUCUUCUCUGGCACAUUAAUUAUUCCCUUGAUAUUGGAGGAGAAUCCAGAUGGGACCUUGAUGCUGCUAAGACAUUCAAACAUGCUUUCCUUCUCUUCUUUGCUCAGAGUGUAGCUAGCAGGGCUUAAGUAAUGACGUCCAUCAUCUGUCUUUUCUGGAUGCAGGUUGUCUCGUUCUUUCAUGCGCUGCAAGUCUUGUCGUGCUUCAAGUGAAUCCUUAGACUUCCCGUAGACACCCAUGAAUCCGAGCAAGUUCACACAAAGAUUCUUUGUCAGGUGCAUCACGUCGAUCGCGUUGCGGACCUCUAGGACAUUCCAGUAAGGUAGCUCCCAAAAUAUGCAUUUCUUCUUCCACAUGGGUACGUGUCCCUUAGCAUCCUUGGGAAUAGGUUCGCUGCCUCGUCCCUUUCCAAAUACCACUUUUAUAUCCUUGACCAUUUCGAGUACAUCAUCCCCGGUUCGAUUGAGAGGUUUGGUCCGGUGGUCUGCCUUGCCUUUAAAAUGCUUGCCUUUCUUUCGUACUGGGUGGUUCACCGGAAGAAACCGACGGUGGCCAAGGUACACGACCUUUCGACAUUUUUUCAAAAAUACACAGUCAAGGUCUUCAUAACAAUGUGUGCAUGCAUUAUAUCCCUUGUUUGACUGGCCUGAAAGAUUACUCAGAGCUGGCCAAUCAUUGAUUGUUACAAACAGCAAUGCUCGUAGGUCAAAGUGCUCUUGUUUGUACUCAUCCCACACGCGAACUCCUGGUUUGCUCCAUAAAAGUUGAAGUUCCUCAACUAAUGGCCUAAGGUAGACAUCUAUGUCAUUGCCAGGUUGCUUCGGUCCUUGGAUAAGCACCGGCAUCAUAAUAAACUUCCGCUUCAUGCAUAGCCAUGGAGGAAGGUUGUAGAUACAUAGAGUAACUGGCCAAGUGCUGUGACUACUGCUCUGCUCACCGAAAGGAUUCAUACCAUCUGUACUUAAGGCGAACCGCAAGUUUCUAGCAUCAUUUGCAAAAUCUGAGAAUUCUCUGUCUAUCGCUCUCCACUGGGAUCCAUCGGCAGGGUGUCUCAGCAUAUUGUCUAUCUUACGGUCUUCUUUAUGCCACCGCAACAACUUUGCAUUGUCCUUAUUUCUGAACAGACGUUUUAAUCGUGGUAUUAUAGGAGCAUACCACAUAACCUUGGCUGGAAUUUUCUUCCUAUGACGUUCUUCACCCUCAACAUCGCCAGGAUCAUCUCGUCUAAUCUUAUACCGUGAUGCCUUGCAUACUGGACAUGCAUCCAAAUUCUCGUAUUCCUCCCCACGGUAGAGGAUGCAGUCAUUAGGACAUGCGUGUAUCUUCUGGAUUUCUAAUCCCAAAGGGCAGACAACCUGUUUUGCUUCAUACGUAGUGGUGGGCAAUUCGUUGCCUUUCGGAAGCAUCUUUUUUAUGAUCUUCAAUAACUGCCCAAAUGCCUUGUCAGAUGUACCAUUCUUUGCCUUCCAUUGCAGCAAUUCUAGUGUGGUACCCAGCUUUUUUUGCCCCUCUUCAGCGGUGGGAUAUAGCGAUUUCCUGUGGUCCUCUAGCAUGCGCUCGAACUUGGCUUUCUCUUUAUCACUUUCACAUUCUCUUUGUGCAUCACGGAUGGCAUCACCAAAAGCAUCAUCGCCCCGAUCAUCUUCUGCCGCCACCUCUUCUUCAUUAUCUCCCCCCAUUGCAACAUCAUUGAAGCCACCGUACUGAGCAAUAAUAUUGGCAUGGUCCAAUUCUUCUUCUUCUUCUUCUUCUUCUUCACCUUCAUCCAUUAUAAUCCCGCUUUCUCCAUGUUUGGUCCAACAAAUAUAGUUUGGUACGAAACCAGACUUUAAUAAGUGUGAAUGAAGAGUUCUUGAGUUAGAAUAUUCCGUCAAAUUCUUGCACACGGCACAUGGACAGCACAUGAAACCGUCCCUCUUAUUUGACUCGGCCACACUUAAGAAAUAGUGCACGCCAUUAAUGAACUCUUCGGAGCGCCGAUCGGCAUUAUACAUCCAAUUACGUGUUACCAUCUGCAUUAAAGAUAACAUAUAUAUUAUGAAAACCAUGCACACAUAUAGUUUCUCAUCUUAUUGCACAACAUGUCUAAGAUACAUAGUUGAUUAAUUUAGAAAAGCUUGGCUACAACAAAUACAAUCGCAACUAGCAUUAAAAAAACAAAACUAAAAUGCACUUAAGCAACAUAAUUAGUUCGCGUCCGAUCCCAACUAUAAUAGAUAGAUCAUUCGCUUGAUCAACAUCAUUGAACUUCUUUCGUCGGCUCACUGCCUCACCACCUUCAGCCUCAACCACCUGUGCAAAAGAUUUCUUAAUGUGUUCAAUGUAUUCUUCCUCCCAGUACCAACCUGUACAUCCGCCGGUACCGUCCCACUGAAAUUAAAAGAGAGAAUCAAAAGUUUAAUUAAUAUCAUUUAAAAAAUAUGCACAUAUAUAAGCAAAUGUCUGGAAAUAACUCACAUUACGAUCUGGACACUUGUAGAAUAUACGACCCUUGUUUACUCCCUCUUUCGACACUUUGUACUCCAUCAAAAUCUUCUGCCCACACUUGCCACAAGUAAUGAGAGGGAGUUCCGGACGGUAUCGCUUUUGAACCCGUUGAGAGACGGAAGACCCGGUCACGGUUGCCAUCUACUAUCCAUACUCAAUUUUAAAACAAUUAUAAAUUCCACAUUUACUAGUAAACAUGUAUGAUACAAUGGACAUUAUAUGUAGUAAUAAAAAUAAAUCAAGUGAUAUUAACAAACCAAUUAAUUUGAACUAUCCUACUUUCUAUGAUCAUAAAAAUAUACUAUAAUUCAUUCUUGCAAAAUAUAUUAAAACUAGGUCAACCAUGAAAUAUGAUAUAUAUAUAUGGAUACUAAUUCAUGUGAAUGAUUCAAAAUAACAAAGUGGAUUUGAGCUAAAAAAUGAUGGGAACAUCACAAGCCAAAAACAACAUGAAAAAGACAAGAAAGGCUGAAGUUAGUCACCUCUAAGCGCGAAGAGACGAUGACGGAGUCGAAGAAGAUCAACGAUGGGCGUUGGAGAUGAAGAACAAAUGAAGAACAAGCAAGAAGAAGCUCCAAGAACAACAAUGGUGCUCUCGGUUUCAAAUGGGCAGAGGGGAGGAGGGAGCCGGCCUAUAAACCGGACCUUUAGCACCGGUUCAGAGCAAAAACCGGUGCUAAAGGGUUACCUUUUAGCACCGGUUUGUAACACAAACCGGUGCUAAAGGGUUUGCCUCGGCCCGUGGCUCUGGCCGGUGCUAAAGGGACCCCUUUAGCACCGGUUCUGGUUAAAAACCGGUGCUAAAGGGUCUCUGCCCCGACAGCACAUGUCAGUAGCCGUUGGGCAGGACCCUUUAGCACCGGUUUGUCACACGAACCGGUGCUAAAGGGGUCUUUAACCCCGGGCCGCAAAAAGGCCGAGGUUUUUGGCCAUUUUGGGCAUCGACCAAUGCCUCAUUCUGUAGUAGUGUAAGUGAAUUAAGAACAAAUAAAGGGGGUCUCGAUGGUUUAAAACAACUAGAAUUUGGCUUAUUUACAAACCCAAUGAAAUAAAUCAUGAGUCGGAGUUGAAUAUGAGGAUUGUUUACCUUCUGGUUUGCGCACUCUUAUCUCACACUCAUGUGAGCCUUCGAAAGCAGUAAUCCAACUUGGACAGCGGCCGAUGAUAAUGUGGUUGUCAACUUGAUUGCAGCAGAACUGGUGGUGGAUUAAGGGUGUCGGUCAAUGCUGAUGGACUCAGGAUUAGGAUUCUAAGUUCGCCCAGCACUUGUUCUAUCUUAUAAAUACUUGUAAAAUUUUGCAAGUGCAAUAAAUCAGCAGAAACUCUAAGCUCGCCACCCGCGGCCUAGACCUCGGACGCUGAUCUCUCACCCCUACAACCUCUGCAGUAAUCGCCGUAGGAUUUGAUCACGGAGCUCACAAUUGCUUCUGCCCCUAGCGGUCAAUCAUUAAUCUUGUGUAAUUUUUAUGCACAAUGAUUGAUUUGUGUGGGAAUUCAUCAUCCUGGAGCCGUCACCACCAUCACUACCACCACCUCACAACCACUACACUCAAGUACAAAAAGAAUUUGGCAUAGUGACUCCUGAUUCCAAGAUCGUGCUCGAGGAGAUUCAAUGCCUCUUCGCCAAACCGAACACCAAGCUAGAUCAACGUUUCAUUGAGUCUGCCCUCAAUUUUGAUCGACGCAUCAUGGACUCCGAGCUUUCCCAAGACGUGUGUGUCACCACCCUGGAGAAAGCGGCAAGGUACUUGAACUUGUGGUGUCAGCAGAUGGAGGGCGUCGUCGACAACCUCCUCGUCAAGGUUGGCAAGUUAUCCAAACAUUGGGAUUGAUCUGUCCUUGACAAAUCGGCAAUGUGAGGGAUGCAAGGGACCUUGGUCUCUUGGAGGCAGGCGACCUGAGGGUUAGUACAAGAGACAUCACAGACAUUGUCACAGUGUUCACUUAAACUCGUUUAAAUUGUAUACACAUGUGUAAACCAAGAACUAUGGUUAUACACUUCUACCCUAAACGGUGAAUUAAAUAAAAAAUCAUUUAAAUGUCAAAAGACAGUUUAAACUUUAAGUCAUGAUAAAGUGGGAACCACACGCUUUGCCAUCGGAGAGUGGUUAGGAGAAGCAGUGGAAUGGAUGGGGCACAUUUGUGACUUUUGCUCUAAUCAUACUAUAUAACCAUAACUGUAUAGCUAGCAAAUAUGUUUUGUAGAGUAUGACUGUGACUUCUGCUAUCAAUGUAUCUUCUGGUUUAGUAUACUUACUAUAUAGCUAGCAUACAGUACAAAAAGCUAUAGGAGCUGCAUUCCUCUGUUUUUCCUAAGUUCUUCCUGUGAACCAAACAGGGCCGAUCGUUGAAUAAAAUUACAGAAUUGUUACAACUUGUUUUGUAAAGGCAUGCACCUGUAUUGGUUAAGGAACGAAUUUUAAGAUCCGCAAGAGAUGUUGGAAGUUGUCAUCCACAAGCAGCGCUGCUGGGAAAAGACAGGUAUGUGCAGCUGUUCAGCGUUUUAGACACUGGUCGUCGCUUAAUAAGCCUUAUUUUUAAAUUAUUGUAUUUGUGAAAUUGUGAACUCUCAUAUCCAGUAGAAACCAUAGAAAUAUUGAGCUCAAAUAAGUAAAAGGCAGGUACACUCAAAAUUGACUAAAAGUGAGGACGUGCACUGAAAAAACGUUUAAUUGAAUGGUGGACACUCACAAAUGAGUUAUCUGUAUUUCAACUUCUUUGAAGAGUCAAAACGUCUUGUGCACCACCACCUUAGCUCUCGCCCGGUGCUCACAACGCUUCCGUCCGGGCUCGUGCAGUUGUGUGCGCCUGGCCUUGCCGCAUGGUGCUCGCACGCCGCUAUGGCUUGGACCGGUGCUUGGGCUGGAUCUUGCUGGAGCUUUCCCAACUCAAUCCGAAUUUGAUCCUUGUUAAUUUUAUUGCAUUUGAUUGAUUUUUUGGUACAUCUUCAUCUCUCCAGAUUGAUCUUUUUUUUUGGGUACAUCUUCAUCUCUCCAGAUCAUAUUUAUUUGGUUGUCAACAGAAGUGAUACAGGCUGCAAGGCACUUUGGCAGUAGCAGCAUACUGAUACUCGGGUAGAAGCACAAUGUGAGCCUGAUUGAUCCUUUCUAGUAGGUUAGCCUAUCCAUAGUGGAAGCUGUGGAAGAACAUGAGCAAGGCAGCAGACGUGGCGUACGCGCCCGUUUGGCCCCGGCGUGCUGUUUGCAUCCAAGGCAUCUGCCAUAGCGCAUCCUACUAAAGACCAAGGCACAGAACUGAAGAACAAUGGGCCUUGCCAGGUCUUCAGGUCAAGCUGGGUCCAAAGUGCAAUAUGCCUGAGGGUGUUCCUCUCCGUAGGACUAACAACAAACAACAUACAAACUAUCCCAAACGAAUCAUUCAUCUGUGAUUCACCCACUCUAUCUUCUCUUUGUGUUGUUCUCUUCAUCUUAAUAUCCCUAUUCCUAUCAGUCCACUAACACAUGGCAUCAGAUUCACGAUUUGGGAUCCAGUUCAUCAUUCCACUGGCAUCGGAUUUGGUCGUUGAGCUCGUGAUUGCUUCUGCCCCUAGCGGUCAAUCGUUGACCUUGUGUAAUUUCCUAUGGGGAUAUGGUGCUCCAAACGGGUACCCACAGUUCUUCUCUAGUGUAACUAAAUGAACUAAAUAUACAAUUUCUUCCCUUAUUUUUUUAUUUAGUUCAUUUAGUUAUAGUAAAGAAGAACCACGGGUAUCCAUUUGGAAGGCCAUUCCCAUCCUUAAUUUCCUGUAUCCACAGAUUGAUUUCUACGGGAAUUCAUCGUUGUGGAGCUGCCAUCACCACCACCACCACCUCACGACCACUACACUUGAGUACAGAAAAAAAAGUUUGAUGUGAUGAGUCCCGAUUCCAAAAUCCUCCUAGGAGAUUCAAUGCCUCUUCGCCAAACACAACACCAAGCUAGAGCAAUGUUUCAUUGAGGUUGACCUCAAUUUCAAUUUACGCAUCAUAAACUCUAAGCUUUCCCAACACAUGCACCUCGCUGCCCUGGAGAAAGCAGUGGGGCACUUCAACUUGUGGCAUCAGGACAUGGAGGGUGUCGACGAUGACCUCCUCGUUGAGGUUGACAAGUUAUCCAAACAUUGGUCCUUGUGUGAACACAAGGUCGAGAAGUACCCUUGUGGUUCGUUUUGUGAUGAGUGAUUGUGAUCCACGAAUAAGUUGAGUUGGUGACUAACAUUACCAUGGCGAAAGCUAUGUAUGCGAUAUGUCUCUUGGCUUGUGGUGUUCAGAUGUGGAGCUCGGAGGCGGUGGUCGAUGGCGAGGAGAAGGUCUGUGUCGUGCCGAUGGACCUGGAGCGGUGAAGGACGGACAUGAGGCUUGGACUGACGGACCAGGACGCUGGGUGACCAGCCGUAAUGGCUGACAUCUGGGACAUCGACAAGUGCAAGUGUACAUGAAAGUGACUGUGUUGACCAAGUCAAGACGGCGGACGCGAGUCGAGCGAGGCUCAGAAGGACUUGGCGGGCAGGCCGGUCGAGGACGGCAGUGACACGUGUCGAGCAGCGGGGAAAGCGUAUGGAGUACGCUACUCGCGGCGGGUUUCGCGGGUUUGGGCCUCAAAACCCGGGCGGAGGUCCCGAUGCGGACGGACGGCAUGUGGCGGCAUCGGUGAGAUCGCUUCGGAGCAAGGCUACCGGUGAGGAGGCGCGGUGGCCGUCGGAUCAAGAGAAAGAGUUGAACUAAAAUGCCCUGGGGCUAGCUAGUUCGCUCAAAAAUAUUUAGAGAUAUUUGGGGAAUAUGUAAUAUACCUGAGAAAUAAGCCGGGGGAGUCCUCCAUCUCCCUUAUCUCUCUCCCACCUCUCUUUUUCCAUCUCUAUCUGUCUGUCCGUAGGCUUGUUCUCCCCCUUCCUGGUUCUUUUAGCAAAGAGACUAUGCACUAAAAUUUUUAGGAGUGUUUUGUACUGAUUUUUGAGUGGGAAUGGAGGCCCAAAUCCUCCAGUUGUCCUCCGAGAUUUCUCUGAGUUCGUCAUUUUUCUCUAUUUUCGUUCUUGGCUAAGAUCCCAAUUUCCCGGAGUUUGGGUUAAUCUCAGGCAAUGAUUCUUUGGGGAUGAGUUUGUGCAUAGGUGAAUUUCAUUUGUGCAAAGUUUGGGAGAAAGUCCUUUUGAUUUGAGUUGAAUUUCAUCGAUUUUGUGGCUACUGCCGUUUCUGUUGGUUCUUAUGUUUGUGCGUCUGUUCUUCUGCUCGUGAUUUGGUAGACUCAUAGGAUCGGACAACAACGCUACCAACGCCGUGCGUGCUCGAUUGAGCAGCGUUUGCCUCAGUGCCAGGCACAGGCAGUCCGUCCGCACGGGGAAUAGGUCCGUCGGGGCCGGCUCUCGUCCAUGGCUUCUGGCGUCUGAGCACGAGCAGACCCGUGCCUCUCCUAGGUUCUUGCAGGUGUUUUUGUUUGAUCAGGUUCGAUUCCUUUCUCUGCAGGCGUGAACAAAUUUGCCCAGCGCUUUUCUCUAUGACUGCUUCAUUCUUGUGCUCGAGUCUGUGACUCAGUCAAUCUUCAGGAACAGGUCAGAUGAGUGCUCGUCCACCGAUCUGUGCAGACAGUUCCAGGUUUGAUUUCAGCCUUGAGUUUAAGCAGUGACGAUCUCCAGUGCAAACCCUGGACUCUUCUUCUAUAGCUGUGUGUGCUAUCAGUGAUUGCACUUUCUUGGUUUUCUAUUUGGGAACUAACAGAUGCUCGUAUUAAGUGCAGCAGCUAGUCCUUGUUUUUGAGCCUUCUCUGAUUGGUCGUUUGAUUCAGCACCAAAUCGUUGCUUGGAUAAGUUUUCUGGACCCGAUCGUUCCUCUCUCUGGUAUGCACUUUGCAGCAGCAAGGCCGAUCGGCCAAUCACCCAGGCUUAUGUGUUGCAGCAACAUUGCGUGUGCCUUUUUGUUUGUAUUUGUGAUGAGCAGAUAUUUUUUGAGUAUUUUCUGGACAAUUUUUCUAGCCUUGAUUUUCGGUUUUGCGCGUAGCUUGGUCGUUUGUGCUCCGAUUUAAGUUUCAUUUGUUGCGUUAGCUUCCUACCGUUCCAAAGAAUUUUUCUAGAUACUCCCGUCACUAGUUGGCUUGAAUAUUUUGGUUUUGGAUCGUGUUUGCGUUUGGCGGUGAUUUUAGGAUAGUGGUCAAUUAUUUUCGAGUGAAAAUUUGAGGCUCCCAUUCACUCUCCCUCUGGUCGCCGUUUUCGGUCCUUCACCUUGACAAAUCGGUGACGUGAGAGAUGCAAGGGAGCUUGGUCUCUUGGAGGCAGGUGACGUCAGGUUAGCGCAAGACACAUCAAUGACAGUGUCACACAUUGUUUACUUAAACUCGUUUAAAUUGUCUACACAUGUGUAAAUAAAAAAAGAUGGUGAUACAUAUAGUCUGUACCCUAAAUGGUGGAACAAAAAAAUCAUUUAAAAGGUCAAAAAACAGUUGCCAUCGGAGGGUGGUCAUGAGAAGCAGUGGAAUGGAUGAGGUGUCUAGCUUGACAUGUGCUGAAUUAAUUUUUUUCUCGUGUUGCAACACGCAAGUACAUAUUUGCUAGCUAUAUUGUAAGUAGUAAAGGAGAAGAUACCUUGAUAGCAAAAUUCACAAUCAUAUUCUGCUACUAAAACCAUUGAAUGCAUCCAUAUAAUGCCUUGUUAGAAAUUUAGACAUUUUAAUGUUUGAUUUAAUCCAGAAAAUUACCCAUAAAAUUGUGGUGGCAUAUAUGUGCACGUGUGCAAUUUUAUCACUACUCAGAUUAGAGAUAAAUAUUGCAAGAACUACUGCAACUACAGCAGACAUACUGAAAGUAAAAAACAAUCGUUUAAGAUUGUAUCCAGAGGAGGGACCAGUGCCAAAGGCACCGGCGGCUCCAUUCGCACUAGUCGACAUAGUGCGUUGCUCGAAGUAGCGGACCACAGUCGGUGCAGGAAGAUGUUCGCAGUGCAGUCCCGCGAACGGCCACCAGGAAGAAGACGAAGACGCCGUAGUCGAUCUCGAUCCGCGCGGACGUCCACCAGGAAGAAGACAACGAACUCGCCGAUGAGCAGUCGCGGAAGACGCUCCCCAAAAAACCUGAUUGCCCGCAACACCCGAGCAGGAGUCUCGUUGCAAGGCGUCGGGUUCCGGAGGCCUGCUCUCCCGAUCUCUGUGCACGCAGAGGUUCGGAACGGGAAUGGACAGAAAGCAACUCGACAGGAGAGAGAGGACUGAAUGUGUUCUCGCUAGUAUGGAAAGAGUGAGUGCGUAUGUAAUAUAUAGGCCUCAGGAGGAAACGUCUGAUUGAUGACAAUUAAUCUCAUUUAAUUGCCAUAAACCGAGUCAAUCAAUUAGCAAUUAAUUGCCAUUAAUUACACAACGGUCAGAUCCCAUUUUCCUCCCUUUCCUUAUUCACCACGCAUGUGCCACGUCACGUAUGGUCUGGUCCUCGUGUGCCACGUCACGCUCGCUCGUCUCGACCUAGACAAGACAAUACAAGACACGUCACGCCACGGCUCGACGGCGGCGGCGGCGCGCACGUGUGGCACCCCUUCACCCUCCCUCAACUUCUCCAUAGGGGCUAACAAAGACCACCUAUUUAAGUUGAGUUAACACAUGGUCAAUCAUCAAUAUGGUACUAAACUAUUUUCAUUAUAGCAUUAAUUAUGGGCCCUUGAAUUAAUCAUCAAAUAUAAUUAUGGGCUAAAAAGGCCCAUUAUAUUCAACCCACCUAUUUCUAGGGCACAUAAGAAAAGCUCUCGAGUUUCCAUUAAUACGUAGGAGUGCCAUGUAUAUUAUAUUUAGGAGACCUCUGCAAGGGUGAGGAGAUGAGAGACACCUUGUUCCCCAACUAAACAACAUUAGUUUAACUCCUUCCUAAUUAACACUAGUGGCUCAUUUAAACUCAGCAAUAUUCCAUCAAAUAUACAGAUAUUGCUGUGAUUCUAUGUCGCCCAUAUGCUGCUAAGAUGAUGAUCGAGUUUUAGGCAAUUUGCAACCAGACCAUCCACAGUUUCAUUUGUUCUCACCCACCUAUCAUCAAAGGUAAUAUCAUCAGAGUGAGGAUUAAGGUUUCAAGCCCACUUUGUGCAAGAUUAGGUACCACUUGCUGACUUUCUUGAGUGAAGAUGGACGAAACAGACACGUGGUUAAUUGUUUUUUGCACCUGAUCACAUGAAAUGCAGCAUUUGUGAUGUGGUAACCCCCAUUUGGCAAGACAAUCUGCAGUAUAGCAUGUUUAUGGGCCACCGAAAGCCCAAAGAAUUUUCACUUGCCAUACACAUAAUUUUUCCAGAUUCUCUUCCAAUGUCUAAAAUGGUGGCACCAAUGAAGAAUCUCUCAUAUAUAUGCUAGUUUUACUUAAUGCUUUCCAUUGGAAUAUAAGCACCCAUUGUGGAUAGGUAGGUAGGUAGGUAGGUAGGUAGGUAGGUAGAUUAUUGAUUGAUUAUUGACUACAAUAAAAGGUAUUUUCAUUGGCGGGUCUCUUAGAUUAAUAGAUCGAGGUGGGUGGUCUAUCUCCUCUACCAAAUGUUGUCUAUUAGUGGGUCAUUUGUAGAGAUGAUCAGCCAGGCCGCCCUUGUAAACUAAUUAACACAGACCAACCAGGAUGUGUAGCCAGCACAACAUAUCCGAGAAGAUGCCGCCAACCUUGAACUUCUGGUUUCCAGUAGGCGCCAUGUUGCUAGCAUGUGACAAGCCUUGGUACGGCUAUAUUUUGGUGCACUAGUUCCACCAAGCCAAACUCGUGCAGCAACUGUGACCUCAGGAGCUCAAUUUUGAUGUAGUAGUGAUUGAUUGAUUUACCAUUCCAAUAAUUAUUUAACAAUCAAUUCUGAUGAGUCCAAUAAAGGAGAAGAUGCUUGGAUAGUAAAGAGUGACAAUUUUACUGUGCAAUAAUAUAUGGUUAACUUUUGAAUUUAUGCAUAUGGGAGUUGCUUGAAUGCUUCCUGUCAGGCAACUACAGAGCCAAACAGUAACCUAGACCAAGUAGCACGUGCGUGUACAUGGCAGAUUUCUAGCAUCGCAAGCGAACAGGCCCAUUUGCCUACUGAGAAUAAAUAUGCAACAGCUCUUUCACAAAAUAAAUUAAAGGAAUAAUAUGUCAUGGCUUUGCCGCGCUGUUCAGUGAAGGGGACGCCUUGUAUUGCUAGCUCGGAUCCGAUUAUCCUAAGGCUGUCAUUGUCCGGCAAUUCCAGAGGAAAUGAUAGAAAACUGUUGCUUGGGUAGUGUAGAAGUUAGCAAUGGUGUCACUGUCAGCCCACCUGCUUUUCCUUUAUCUACUUUUCGUACUGGUCCUUGCUGUAUAUUAGGUUUUGUUCCGGCCUAAAUUUAGAUGCUCUAGCCAAGUAAUUUAAGAACAUAAGGAAGGCGGAUGCUUUGCAACUACUUGUAGUGAUUUUCAGGGCUCAAAUUAGAUGAUCUAGUUAACACUGCCACACGUUCGGGCAUUAGCACCGGUCGGGAAGGGCCUGUUGCCCCGGUUCCCGAGCCGGUGCUGCCCUUCCGGGACUAAAGGCCCACCCUUUAGUCCCGGUUCCGUUAACCGGGGCUAAAGCCCCCCUUUAACACCGGUUGGUAACACCAACCGGUGUUAAAGGGUCCUGCCAGAGCUGCCACGUUGCAGGACCCUUUAACACCGGUUGGUAUUACCAACCGGUGUUAAAUGGUUUCUUUUUCUUUUUUUUUUGGUUCACUUCUUCGGUUCUGUUUAUUGUUUAUAUAUAAUAUAUAAUAAUAGGUUUUUCAAUACAUGUUUUGCUGAUACAAUAAUAUAUUUAUAUUACACGCAUAUUAAGCAUAUAUAAAUGAAAAUUGUAGGCUAAGCUUAAUAGUUAAGCUUUGCCUAUAAUAAAAUGAAUAGACCACAUCAAAAAUUAAAUAGAUAUGUAAAAAGCUUUAUAUAUAUAUAGUUUUAUAUGUACAAAAUUCGUAACACAUAUAUACAUAGAGUUUGUUCUCCCAAUGUCUACAAACGAUACAAAUGAUCAUCGUUGUUUGGUAUAAGAGUUUCGUUGCCGUUGAAGUGAAACUCGCCGUUUGGAUUGAUCACUUGGUCGCGGAGAAAUCCUGCUAUCGUCUCUUGGAUAGCUUUGAUUCGGUCUUGUUGUAGGACCUUUUCCCUCAGCCAUUCCGUCUUUAAUUUGAAAUAAAUAAAAAAGGUAUUAGUUAUCUAAGUUAUUCAAUAUAAUUCAGGAGAUAAUGAAAAGAGACAUGUAACGUACUCUGAGCGUCUCUGUGGGUGUUUGAUUGACUUGUGCCAUCAUGAAUUUGCACACAUAAUAUGCACAUAGAUUGUUCCCUCCUUCUUGUCUUAAACACCACUGUACGAUGUAUAUAUAUAUAAAAAUAUUCAUAACCACGACAAUAAGAAGGCUAAAAGUUACCGAAAGUUUGUUAGCUAGUAGAACUUACUUGUGGAUGUAUUAUGUUAAGCGGCGCUUUACAUCCACUGAGAUGUUCAUGGUCAAUGAAUCUUUCCCAAACCCUAUACACAGCCAUUGUGGAUCGUGAACUAAUAAUUACAGAGUCAUAUUAUGAUAUUUUUGUAGCUGAGAUCGACAUUACGUACCUUUGAAUAAUGUUUACCAUUUGUUGAUAAUUUUCUUGUGGUUUUCUCAUUGAGUCAAAGAUUAUCAAUCGGUUCUUGAGAAUUUCAAUGACCAUGAGUAUCCAGUGAAAGCUGUUUACACACACAUAUAUAGGGUCAGUCCUAUAAUGUAAAAUAAAAUAUGCAUGCACUUAAUAACUAUAUAACUCACUCGAAGUUGAAGGGGAAGAGUAUUUUUUGUUUUUCUUUUUGGUUUACAAAGAACCUCAUAAGAUUGGUGCAGAUUUCUGUCUCAUAAUCUGCUGUCCACACUGCCUGCGGAGCCUUGAAAACAAUAUAAGGGUCAACGAACCCAAUACUAUUGUCAUUUCUCAUUCUGAGCUCUCUCAUUUGGUGCCUGCAUAUAUACAUACAAAUCCUAAGUGUGUAAGGAUUAUAUACAUGUAAUUAAAAAAGUUAGAAGUAUAAUAAAAAGGAAAAAUACUUACAGACAAAAGCAGCUGACAAGAGAUUUGUCAAGAGCGUCGAGGUGGCAUAAUUGGUGCAAUUCUUCGAACUGCACGUAUAUGAGGUCAUCUCCACGGAAGUAGUGAUGUUGUCUAAUACGAACAGAAAUCCAAUUCUCUCCCCUUUUAGACGCCUCAAUGCACCAUUUGUUUAUUGCAAACAUUUGUGUGCCGAGCUCGUGUAAACGCUUAGGGUCGAAUAGACUCCUGCCCGGUUCAUAUCUUGCCCUCCAUUGAUCAACUACCUCGGCUUUUUCAAAUGUAUGACAUCCAAGAAUGGCGGUAAUUUCUUCUAUAUUUAAACCGCUCUGUCCAAAGUAACUCUCAAGCGAGUCUAGCUCAGACAACGCUAAGGAUUUCUUUGGCAUCAAGUCUUCAUUUGAGCCGUAUUGAUUUGACACAAUCAAAGGGGGCACCGGUUUUGAUACUUCUCCGAGCUGUGGGACCCCCUUUCCUACUCUCUUCUUAGUAGGCUGUGAAGACUUGACCAGAGACCGCUCAUAGUCCGAAAGUGCUGGCUUUUUCUGAGCUUCGCGUUGCUUCUUUUGAUGGUCCGCCACCUUCUGCCUCAGUUCCGAUGGCUUCACAUAAAAGUACGGCUUUUCUGGGUUAAGCCGUUUUUUCCUUUCCUCCUUUAUUUUAUCAAAAAAUUGUUGGACCUCAGCUUUAGAUGUAGCAAUUACCUCCUCUUCACUCUUUUCGUAAGGUAAUUUUUCUGGCGUCUUAGCUCUCUUUGCUGAGGCAGCCUUCUUUGGAGGUGGGACCGAUGACUUCGGUCCUUCUUGGACGGACCGCUUCUUACUACCUCGCUUUGGAGGCGAGGGGACCGACCGUGCACUCUUUGGAGAGGGCGGUGCAGGCGGUGGAGGGGGUGGGGCCGAUCUUUUUGGCGUUGGAGAACGCGGUGGAGGACUUGGAGAACGCGGUGGAGGAGUUGGAGACCUCGGUGGAGGAGGUGGAGACCGUGGUGGAGGCGGUGGCGGGGUCGGUGUGGCCGCCGCAGGUGUUGGAGGAGAUCCAGCAUUGUCACCGCCCGCAGCACUAUGAUGCGCUGGGGAGAGAACUGGACUUAGGUUGGAGGAGUCCCUGCAAAGAAAACAAUUACAAGUUUUGUGAGUAAACUUUUUUUAAAUUUCAAUACAUAAUAAAUAAUAUAAGAAGUAAAAUCACACACAAACCUAUGCUGAGGAAUAAUUAUGAAGCGCUUGCGCCAACAAAUAAAUGUCUUCUCAGCUUCACCUAAGGUCUUCUCUCCGUCUCCCCCUUCUAUGUCUAGUGGCACAUUGCCACAACCUUUCUCAACCCUAUCAACCGAGACGCUAGCAUAUCCACCAGGUACUGGUCGAUUAUGGAUUCUUGGAGUGCCCGUUCGGUCGAUAGGGUUGACAACAGCGAUAGCCACCUUUUUGGUGGCAUUCCCAUCUGGUACAUGCAGCUCACAGGUAGUAAAAGCCUCUGUGACAUCAUCCACGGGGAAGUGUAGCUUCGUGUCAUCCUGAAUGGUUGGUACUUCCGUGGAUGCGCAGCUGCUUUUCAACUGGCCUGGGGGGCUAACAUUGACCUCAGGCUGUGAUGUACCUUGCCCUUUCGUCAUUUGACUAAGUGCUGCUUGCACUUGCCUUUGAAUCUCUGCCUGCAUCCAUUCUUCACGAGCUUUCUCGCGCUCUUGUGACUGCAGAACAAAAGCUUCCAGGCGGCGGAUCCGCUCUGCCUCCUCAUCCUUCUUUCUCUGGCGGCUUCUGUAGGUAUCUUGAUCGGCUUGGAAUGAUUGCAGCCACGGAACUGCCCCAUAGCCUCUCGUACGCCCACCGUGCUCAGGAUUUUCAAGCGCAUAGGUGAGUUCAUCCUUCUCCCUGUUAGGCCUGAACUCACCAGACUGAACCGCCUCUCGUGCACGGACUAGUCUCUCUGCUGCUCUAGAGAUUUCUUGGCCCCAAACUAGCGCCCCGGUGUCUGGGUCCACGCUUCCCCCAUGACCGUAGAACCAAUGCUUGGAGCGCUCGCUCCAAUUCUUUGCUAUUGUCUCGGGUGUGACCCCCCUAGCAAGCAUCUCCUGUUCCAUUCGGUCCCACUUGGGAGCAGCACUCUUAUAACCACCUGAUCCCAUAUGAUGGUGGUAUGCCUUUUUACUGGCAUUCUCUUUGUUUCUAUUGGCUCGUUCCUCGCCCUCUUCUGAUGUUUUGUACUGCACAAAGUCAUCCCAGAAGGCCCUCAGCUUUACAUAUUGCUUGAGGUUGAAAUCUGGAGUCUCGUUUUUCUUGACAUAUUUAUUGUACAAAGACUUCUUCCAAUUCUGGAAGAGUACUGCCAUCUUCUUCAUAGUCCAGUCAUAAAUUCGCACCUUCAACUCUUCAUCGUUGGUGUCGAAGGUGAAAACGUCUGUGACGGCUUUCCAAACUAACUCCUUGUCACGAUCAGAGACAAAACUGAUCUCAGGAGCACCUCGCUUCUCUCUCCAUUCACGACAACUGAUCGGUAUUUGAUCUCUCACAAUAUAUCCACAGUGAUUAACAUAUUUAUUUGCAUGCUCACCAAGUGGUCUGCCUGUAGCUAUCUCAAACUCAGAGAUUACAUAGCGGCCCUCCAACGGCUUCUUUGGCCCUCGUGGAGGUACGCUUCUCCCCGUAGAGGUCGAUCCAGAAGGCUACACGUACAUAUAGAAACAAAAAUACUAAAUUAAUAACCAAGUAAUAAGUCUAAAACCUAAUGUAAGAGAUGCAUUAUUUAUAUAUGUUUACAUUUACAUACCUCGCCAGUAUUUUCUUCUUGUUGCACGACAAGUUGUUGCUCAGGGGCAUUGCCCUCUUGUUGCUCAGGGGCAUUGCCCUCUUGUUGCUCAGUAGGAUUGCCUUGCAUGAUGUCGUGGUAAUCAACGAAGUACUGACUACCGUCGUCGAUUAUAUUUUGAAUGGCAGCUUCCAUAUAAUCAGGAUCAUCAUGAGGACGGUCAGCCAUUUCUAUGUCUGCAACCAUACAUAUAUAUAUUCUAUAUAAGAUAAGAAAUACACUAAUACUACUACAAAUGAAAGUGUUGGAGUGCUCUAAAAAUAAUACUAGGAUCUUUUAAGCCAAGUAAUACAUUAGAAUAAAAAACAAUACUAGAAUAAUAUAUAGUAGAAACAAAAAUAUAUACAAAACCCUACUAGAAUAAAUUUGGUGGCUAAACACUACUAGAACAUAUAUUAGAGACUUAUAUACUACUACUAGUACUACUACAAAUGAAAGUGUUGGAGUGCUCUAAAAAUAAUACUAGAAUCUUUUAAGCCAAGUAAUACACUAGAAUAAAAAACAAUAGUAGAAUAAUAUACAACAAAUAUAUACUAAAAAAACUACUACAAAUAAUAUAUUAAAAAAAUAAUACAUACAUACAUACAAACAAUUAUAAUUCAUACAUACAAACUAUAUAUAUGUGUGUAUAUAUGUACAAAAAAUAAUAUACAUACAUACAAAAAAUAAUACAUAUAUACAAAAAAUAAAACAUACAUACAUACAUACUAUAUAUAUAUAUACUACAAAUAUUAUAUUAAAAAAAUAAUACAUACAUUCAUACAUACAAACAAUUAUAAUUCAUACAUACAAACUAUAUAUAUGUGUGUAUAUAUGUACAAAAAAUAAUAUACAUACAUACAAAAAAUAAUACAUAUAUACAAAAAAUAAAACAUACAUACAUACAUACAUACAUACUAUAUAUAUAUACUACAAAUAUUAUAUUAAAAAAAUAAUACAUACAUUCAUACAUACAAACAAUUAUAAUUCAUACAUACAAACUAUAUAUAUGUGUGUGUAUAUAUAUGUACAAAAAAUAAUAUACAUACAUACAAAAAAUAAUACAUAUAUAAAAAAAUAAAACAUACAUACAUACUAUAUAUAUAUACUAGAAUAAUAUAUUAAAAAAAUAAUACAUACAUACAUACAAACAAUUAUAAUUCAUACAUACAAACUAUAUAUAUGUGUAUAUAUGUAUAAAAAAUAAUAUACAUACAUACAAAAAAUAUUACAUAUAUAUACAUAUAAAUAUAUACAAAAAAUAAUACAACAAAUCAAAACACCAUAUAUACAUAUAUAUAUACAUAAAAAUAUAUACAAAAAAUAAUACUACAAAUCAAAACACCAUAUAUAUAUAUAUAUAUAUAUAUAUAUAUAUAUAUAUAUUGAUUUGUAGUAUUAUUUUUUGUAUAUAUUUUUAUGUAUAUAUAUGUAAUAUUUUUUGUAUAUAUAUUUCUGGUCUAGCUAAUGUAUAUAAAUACAUAAUUAAUCAAUGGCGUUCUCGAUCUAUACUUAGCACCGGCCGGAAGAAGAUCGACGUGGGAUGUUUUGGAGGCCCGCGCGCUCGAUCUGGCCGUGGCCCGCGGCGGCGGCGUUGGAGGAGGGGCGCGGCGGCGCUGGUGGAGAGCCGCGGCGGCGCUGGUGGAGACGGUGGUCGCGGCGGCGAGGGAGUCGAGAAACGACGGCGGCGAAGACGAUGAACCCGGCGGCGCUGGAACGAAGACGAAGACGAAAGAACUGCCGGAUCCAGGAUGCCUGUGGCUUAUAUAGGGACGGACCCUUUAGCACCGGUUUCCACUUUGGGCCGGUGCUAAAGGCCCAUUUUUUUGUUUAGGGUUUUUCAAUUGUUUUAUAUGUACAGUUUAUAUUAUAAAUUGUAUAGUAAAUUAAAUAUUUUGCAUAAUGUUUUUUAAACAGUGACAUAUAUUGUAAUUUGUUUUAAUGUACACAUAAAAAUUUUUAAACUUAAAUAUCUUAUUGUAUUUUUAUAAUUUACAAUGAUUUUGUAAGAAAUGUUUAGUAUUUUGUUAAUGCAAAAAUAUAUUAUUCCAAUAAAUUUACAAAAACUAUAUCCAAUGAACUGGAAAUUUAUUUUCACAUCAUAUUGACGUAAAACUUUUUAUUUUUGUUAUUUAUUACUAGGAAUGCUACUUGGGUAUAAUUUUCAUCAAAUAAAAAAUCAUAUAAAAAUAUAUAUCUUGAUGAACAAACCCUUUGACCGAACCCUAGAUUGUCCCAAAUGGAAAAGUCAUGAAUACAAAGUUUGCUACACUCAUCAAGUUCUACAUUUUGUCUAAUGGUCAACUUUUCAUUUGGAAAAGUUUGAACCACUGAAUUUUGAAUUUUCAUGGAACUCAUAGCCACGCAGCGGUUUCGGAACCCUACAUGGUCUCGAAUGGAAAAGUCAUGAAUACCAAUAUUGUUCCACUCAUCAAAAUCUACAUUUCAUAUAUAGACCAUUUUUGCAUUUGACAAAGUUUUGGGAAGGUGUAGUUGAAAAUCCACAAUUGACACAUAUAGUUUCAUAUAGUUUGUGUGAGAACUUAGAAUUGGUGGGUAUUGUUAAAUUAGAUUUUCUCAAAUGGAAAAGUUGUGUAUAUAAAAAGUUUAGAUCUUGAAGAUAUCUAACAACUUGGUAUUCAAAAUAUUUUCAUUUGAAGUAAUUUAGUUUGUCAUUUGACCAAGUUUGACCGAAACCCGUCUUGGAUUUUAUAGAAAUGUAACUAGAAUUGGCUCAAAAUUAUCCAAAUGGAAAAAUGGACAAUAUAUAAAAUAUAGAUUUUGAUGAUCUCUAACAACUUUGUAUUCAAACUUUUUUCAUUUCAAGUCAUCAAAUGGGCUAUUUGACCAAGUUUGACCAAAGUCAAAGCAUUGGUUUUUACAAACACACCCUUUGACCGAACCCUAGAUUGUCCCAAAUGGAAAAGUCAUGAAUACAAAGUUUGCUACACUCAUCAAGUUCUACAUUUUGUCUAAUGGUCAACUUUUCAUUUGGAAAAGUUUGAACCACUGAAUUUUGAAUUUUCAUAGAACUCAUAGCCACGCAGCGGUUUCGGAACCCUACAUGGUCUCGAAUGGAAAAGUCAUGAAUACCAAUAUUGUUCCACUCAUCAAAAUCUACAUUUCAUAUAUAGACCAUUUUUGCAUUUGACAAAGUUUUGGGAAGGUGUAGUUGAAAAUCCACAAUUGACACAUAUAGUUUCAUAUAGUUUGUGUGAGAACUUAGAAUUGGUGGGUAUUGUUAACUUAGAUUUUCUCAAAUGGAAAAGUUGUGUAUAUAAAAAGUUUAGAUCUUGAAGAUAUCUAACAACUUGGUAUUCAAAAUAUUUUCAUUUGAAGUAAUUUAGUUUGUCAUUUGACCAAGUUUGACCGAAACCCGUCUUGGAUUUUAUAGAAAUGUAACUAGAAUUGGCUCAAAAUUAUCCAAAUGGAAAAAUGGACAAUAUAUAAAAUAUAGAUUUUGAUGAUCUCUAACAACUUUGUAUUCAAACUUUUUUCAUUUCAAGUCAUCAAAUGGGCUAUUUGACCAAGUUUGACCAAAGUCAAAGCAUUGGUUUUUACAAACACACCCUUUGACCGAACCCUAGAUUGUCCCAAAUGGAAAAGUCAUGAAUACAAAGUUUGCUACACUCAUCAAGUUCUACAUUUUGUCUAAUGGUCAACUUUUCAUUUGGAAAAGUUUGAACCACUGAAUUUUGAAUUUUCAUAGAACUCAUAGCCACGCAGCGGUUUCGGAACCCUACAUGGUCUCGAAUGGAAAAGUCAUGAAUACCAAUAUUGUUCCACUCAUCAAAAUCUACAUUUCAUAUAUAGACCAUUUUUGCAUUUGACAAAGUUUUGGGAAGGUGUAGUUGAAAAUCCACAAUUGACACAUAUAGUUUCAUAUAGUUUGUGUGAGAACUUAGAAUUGGUGGGUAUUGUUAACUUAGAUUUUCUCAAAUGGAAAAGUUGUGUAUAUAAAAAGUUUAGAUCUUGAAGAUAUCUAACAACUUGGUAUUCAAAAUAUUUUCAUUUGAAGUAAUUUAGUUUGUCAUUUGACCAAGUUUGACCGAAACCCGUCUUGGAUUUUAUAGAAAUGUAACUAGAAUUGGCUCAAAAUUAUCCAAAUGGAAAAAUGGACAAUAUAUAAAAUAUAGAUUUUGAUGAUCUCUAACAACUUUGUAUUCAAACUUUUUUCAUUUCAAGUAAUCAAAUGGGCUAUUUGACCAAGUUUGACCAAAGUCAAAGCAUUGGUUUUUACAAACACACCCUUUGACCGAACCCUAGAUUGUCCCAAAUGGAAAAGUCAAGCCGACACAACAGUGAACUUCUUCUUGACGUAUGACCCUUGGUUAUGAUCCUGCCGUAACCAUGGAGUAUCCUCAUUGUUUAACAGAAUGCUUGGGUCUUUGUUGACUAUGAAGGGCGGAAUUCGAUCAUCCCUUUCGUAAUCGCCUGACAUGUCUGACUUUUCCUCAAUUCCGACAAUGUUUCUUUUCCCAGAAAGGACAAUGUGGCGCUUUGGCUCAUUGAUGAUUGAGUGGUCAUCAUUUUUUCCUCUCUUUGGUUUCGUAGACAUAUCUUUGACAUAGAACACCUGACUCACGUCUGCAGCAAGGACGAAUUGUUCGUCUUUGAACCCACUAUUGUUAAGGUCCACGGUUGUCAUCCCAUACUCCUUGUCGACUGUUACCCCACCUCCGGUCAUCUUCACCCAUUGGCACCGGAACAAAGGAACUUUAAAAUUAGCUGCAUAGACUAGUUCCCAUAUGUCUUCUAUGCGUCCAUAAUAUGUUUGCCUGUUCCCAUUUGGAUCCGUGGCAUCCACGCGUACACCACUAUUUUGGUUGGUGCUCCUUUUAUCUUGGCCAACUGUGUAAAAUGUGUUACCAUUUAUCUCGUACCCUUUGUAUGUGAUGACAUGCCAUGAUGGUUGCCUGGCCAACAAAUAAAGCUGCUCAUCAAUGUUUUCAUCACCUUGACAUUUUUUGCGCAACCAAUCGCCAAAAGUUUCCAUGUGCUGACGCAUUAUCCAAGCUUCAUUCUUCCCGGGCCACUGGGACCGUAGGUAAUCUUUGUGUACCUCAACAUAUGGUUCCACCAAUGAGGAGUUCUGGAGAACUGUGUAGUGUGCUUUAUUGAAGUAAUCGUUUCCCGUACCAAUAUAUGUUUUCUUCCCAAGUGUUCCCUUUCCGCUGAGUCUGCCCUCGUGUCGAGAUUCAGGAAUGCCAAUUGGGUCAAGGUCUGGAAUAAAGUCAACACAGAACUCUAUGACCUCCUCUGUUCCGUAGCCCUUGGCAAUGCUUCCUUCUAGCCGGGAACGACUAUGGACAUAUUUCUUUAGGACACCCAUGAAUCUCUCGAAGGGGAACAUGUUGUGUAGGAACACAGGACCGAGAAUACGAAUCUCUUUGACCAGAUGAACUAGGAGGUGUGUCAUGAUAUCGAAGAAGGAUGGAGGGAACACCAACUCAAAGCUGACGAGACAUUGAACGACAUCAUUCUGCAGAGUAGCUAGUUGCUCUGGAUUGAUUGCCUUCUGAGAAAUUGCAUUGAGGAAUGCACAUAGCUUUACGGUGGCUAGACGUACGUGUGGAGGUAGAAUUCCUCUUAAAACGACCGGCAGCAAUUGCGUCAUUAGAACGUGACAGUCAUGGGACUUCAAGUUCAGGAAUUUCUUCUCUGGCACAUUAAUUAUUCCCUUGAUAUUGGAGGAGAAUCCAGAUGGGACCUUGAUGCUGCUAAGACAUUCAAACAUGCUUUCCUUCUCUUCUUUGCUCAGAGUGUAGCUAGCAGGGCUUAAGUAAUGACGUCCAUCAUCUGUCUUUUCUGGAUGCAGGUUGUCUCGUUCUUUCAUGCGCUGCAAGUCUUGUCGUGCUUCAAGUGAAUCCUUAGACUUCCCGUAGACACCCAUGAAUCCGAGCAAGUUCACACAAAGAUUCUUUGUCAGGUGCAUCACGUCGAUCGCGUUGCGGACCUCUAGGACAUUCCAGUAAGGUAGCUCCCAAAAUAUGCAUUUCUUCUUCCACAUGGGUACGUGUCCCUUAGCAUCCUUGGGAAUAGGUUCGCUGCCUCGUCCCUUUCCAAAUACCACUUUUAUAUCCUUGACCAUUUCGAGUACAUCAUCCCCGGUUCGAUUGAGAGGUUUGGUCCGGUGGUCUGCCUUGCCUUUAAAAUGCUUGCCUUUCUUUCGUACUGGGUGGUUCACAGGAAGAAACCGACGGUGGCCAAGGUACACGACCUUUCGACAUUUUUUCAAAAAUACACAGUCAAGGUCUUCAUAACAAUGUGUGCAUGCAUUAUAUCCCUUGUUUGACUGGCCUGAAAGAUUACUCAGAGCUGGCCAAUCAUUGAUUGUUACAAACAGCAAUGCUCGUAGGUCAAAGUGCUCUUGUUUGUACUCAUCCCACACGCGAACUCCUGGUUUGCUCCAUAAAAGUUGAAGUUCCUCAACUAAUGGCCUAAGGUAGACAUCUAUGUCAUUGCCAGGUUGCUUCGGUCCUUGGAUAAGCACCGGCAUCAUAAUAAACUUCCGCUUCAUGCAUAGCCAUGGAGGAAGGUUGUAGAUACAUAGAGUAACUGGCCAAGUGCUGUGACUACUGCUCUGCUCACCGAAAGGAUUCAUACCAUCUGUACUUAAGGCGAACCGCAAGUUUCUAGCAUCAUUUGCAAAAUCUGAGAAUUCUCUGUCUAUCGCUCUCCACUGGGAUCCAUCGGCAGGGUGUCUCAGCAUAUUGUCUAUCUUACGGUCUUCUUUAUGCCACCGCAACAACUUUGCAUUGUCCUUAUUUCUGAACAGACGUUUUAAUCGUGGUAUUAUAGGAGCAUACCACAUAACCUUGGCUGGAAUUUUCUUCCUAUGACGUUCUUCACCCUCAACAUCGCCAGGAUCAUCUCGCCUAAUCUUAUACCGUGAUGCCUUACAUACUGGACAUGCAUCCAAAUUCUCGUAUUCCUCCCCACGGUAGAGGAUGCAGUCAUUAGGACAUGCGUGUAUCUUCUGGAUUUCUAAUCCCAAAGGGCAGACAACCUGUUUUGCUUCACACGUAGUGGUGGGCAAUUCGUUGCCUUUCGGAAGCAUCUUUUUUAUGAUCUUCAAUAACUGCCCAAAUGCCUUGUCAGAUGUACCAUUCUUUGCCUUUCAUUGCAGCAAUUCUAGUGUGGUACCCAGCUUUUUUUGCCCCUCUUCAGCGGUGGGAUAUAGCGAUUUCCUGUGGUCCUCUAGCAUGCGCUCGAACUUGGCUUUCUCUUUAUCACUUUCACAUUCUCUUUGUGCAUCACGGAUGGCAUCACCAAAAGCAUCAUCGCCCCGAUCAUCUUCUGCCGCCACCUCUUCUUCAUUAUCUCCCCCCAUUGCAACAUCAUUGAAGCCACCGUACUGAGCAAUAAUAUUGGCAUGGUCCAAUUCUUCUUCUUCUUCUUCUUCUUCACCUUCAUCCAUUAUAAUCCCGCUUUCUCCAUGUUUGGUCCAACAAAUAUAGUUUGGUACGAAACCAGACUUUAAUAAGUGUGAAUGAAGAGUUCUUGAGUUAGAAUAUUCCGUCAAAUUCUUGCACACGGCACAUGGACAGCACAUGAAACCGUCCCUCUUAUUUGACUCGGCCACACUUAAGAAAUAGUGCACGCCAUUAAUGAACUCUUCGGAGCGCCGAUCGGCAUUAUACAUCCAAUUACGUGUUACCAUCUGCAUUAAAGAUAACAUAUAUAUUAUGAAAACCAUGCACACAUAUAGUUUCUCAUCUUAUUGCACAACAUGUCUAAGAUACAUAGUUGAUUAAUUUAGAAAAGCUUGGCUACAACAAAUACAAUCGCAACUAGCAUUAAAAAAAAACAAAACUAAAAUGCACUUAAGCAACAUAAUUAGUUCGCGUCCGAUCCCAACUAUAAUAGAUAGAUCAUUCGCUUGAUCAACAUCAUUGAACUUCUUUCGUCGGCUCACUGCCUCACCACCUUCAGCCUCAACCACCUGUGCAAAAGAUUUCUUAAUGUGUUCAAUGUAUUCUUCCUCCCAGUACCAACCUGUACAUCCGCCGGUACCGUCCCACUGAAAUUAAAAGAGAGAAUCAAAAGUUUAAUUAAUAUCAUUUAAAAAAAUAUGCACAUAUAUAAGCAAAUGUCUGGAAAUAACUCACAUUACGAUCUGGACACUUGUAGAAUAUACGACCCUUGUUUACUCCCUCUUUCGACACUUUGUACUCCAUCAAAAUCUUCUGCCCACACUUGCCACAAGUAAUGAGAGGGAGUUCCGGACGGUAUCGCUUUUGAACCCGUUGAGAGACGGAAGACCCGGUCACGGUUGCCAUCUACUAUCCAUACUCAAUUUUAAAACAAUUAUAAAUUCCACAUUUACUAGUAAACAUGUAUGAUACAAUGGACAUUAUAUGUAGUAAUAAAAAUAAAUCAAGUGAUAUUAACAAACCAAUUAAUUUGAACUAUCCUACUUUCUAUGAUCAUAAAAAUAUACUAUAAUUCAUUCUUGCAAAAUAUAUUAAAACUAGGUCAACCAUGAAAUAUGAUAUAUAUAUAUGGAUACUAAUUCAUGUGAAUGAUUCAAAAUAACAAAGUGGAUUUGAGCUAAAAAAUGAUGGGAACAUCACAAGCCAAAAACAACAUGAAAAAGACAAGAAAGGCUGAAGUUAGUCACCUCUAAGCGCGAAGAGACGAUGACGGAGUCGAAGAAGAUCAACGAUGGGCGUUGGAGAUGAAGAACAAAUGAAGAACAAGCAAGAAGAAGCUCCAAGAACAACAAUGGUGCUCUCGGUUUCAAAUGGGCAGAGGGGAGGAGGGAGCCGGCCUAUAAACCAGACCUUUAGCACCGGUUCAGAGCAAAAACCGGUGCUAAAGGGUUACCUUUUAGCACCGGUUUGUAACACAAACCGGUGCUAAAGGGUUUGCCUCGGCCCGUGGCUCUGGCCGGUGCUAAAGGGACCCCUUUAGCACCGGUUCUGGUUAAAAACCGGUGCUAAAGGGUCCCUGCCCCGACAGCACAUGUCAGUAGCCGUUGGGCAGGACCCUUUAGCACCGGUUUGUCACACGAACCGGUGCUAAAGGGGUCUUUAACCCCGGGCCGCAAAAAGGCCGAGGUUUUUGGCCAUUUUGGGCAUCGACCAAUGCCUCAUUCUGUAGUAGUGUAAGUGAAUUAAGAACAAAUAAAGGGGGUCUCGAUGGUUUAAAACAACUAGAAUUUGGCUUAUUUACAAACCCAAUGAAAUAAAUCAUGAGUCGGAGUUGAAUAUGAGGAUUGUUUACCUUCUGGUUUGCGCACUCUUAUCUCACACUCAUGUGAGCCUUCGAAAGCAGUAAUCCAGAUUGUAUCCAGAGGAGGGACCAGUGCCAAAGGCACCGGCGGCUCCAUUCGCACUAGUCGACAUAGUGCGUUGCUCGAAGUAGCGGACCACAGUCGGUGCAGGAAGAUGUUCGCAGUGCAGUCCCGCGAACGGCCACCAGGAAGAAGACGAAGACGCCGUAGUCGAUCUCGAUCCGCGCGGACGUCCACCAGGAAGAAGACAACGAACUCGCCGAUGAGCAGUCGCGGAAGACGCUCCCCAAAAAACCUGAUUGCCCGCAACACCCGAGCAGGAGUCUCGUUGCAAGGCGUCGGGUUCCGGAGGCCUGCUCUCCCGAUCUCUGUGCACGCAGAGGUUCGGAACGGGAAUGGACAGAAAGCAACUCGACAGGAGAGAGAGGACUGAAUGUGUUCUCGCUAGUAUGGAAAGAGUGAGUGCGUAUGUAAUAUAUAGGCCUCAGGAGGAAACGUCUGAUUGAUGACAAUUAAUCUCAUUUAAUUGCCAUAAACCGAGUCAAUCAAUUAGCAAUUAAUUGCCAUUAAUUACACAACGGUCAGAUCCCAUUUUCCUCCCUUUCCUUAUUCACCACGCAUGUGCCACGUCACGUAUGGUCUGGUCCUCGUGUGCCACGUCACGCUCGCUCGUCUCGACCUAGACAAGACAAUACAAGACACGUCACGCCACGGCUCGACGGCGGCGGCGGCGCGCACGUGUGGCACCCCUUCACCCUCCCUCAACUUCUCCAUAGGGGCUAACAAAGACCACCUAUUUAAGUUGAGUUAACACAUGGUCAAUCAUCAAUAUGGUACUAAACUAUUUUCAUUAUAGCAUUAAUUAUGGGCCCUUGAAUUAAUCAUCAAAUAUAAUUAUGGGCUAAAAAGGCCCAUUAUAUUCAACCCACCUAUUUCUAGGGCACAUAAGAAAAGCUCUCGAGUUUCCAUGUCGUUUCAUAUACCAGUCGUUUCGGUGGAGACUGUUAAGUUGAACUUCCACCUAGAGUACAGACUACACUUAGCCACAACUUGAACAAUGGACUAUGCCUUGAAUUGCAAGUUUUGUGUGAUAUAAGUUUCAUCUACACUCAUAACUGAUACCGGGUUGCAUGAACAUCCCCUCUGGUUGAAACAUAUAAGUCAUACUUCUGGUCCAUUCAUGAGUAUCUAGAGAUCACCCAAAAUCUCAUAGACUGUGACUAGCAGUCAAACUCAUAUAGGUGUAUUCCUUAAAGAUGUUCUGUAGGACAACAUCUAUCGCUUCACAAGCCGCUUUGGAAUACAUUAAGGUAUAUAACCAGCCUUCCUUAGAGACUUAGGAAAGAAGUGCAAUUGAGAUGAGUUAAGUAAAGGGUCUUUCCUCACAAUCUACUUCUGGCUUGUUUCACCAUUCUACUUCACGGGAUCUCCGAUCACAUAGAACAGGUUGCCACCAUGGUAGACCUCACGUGGGUCUCAAACCCAUCUCACUCGAUGCACUAUCUAUCACAUUACGUGAUAGUCCCUUUGUGAAUUGAUCUGCCAGAUUCUUGGACGUAUGAACAUAGUACAAUGCUAUAACUCCAGAGUUUCUCAAUUUUCUGACAGUCUUCAAACGCCGUUUGACAUGCCUAGUAGACUUCAUGUUGUCCUUAGAACUGUUGACUUUAGUGAUCACUGUUUGAUUGUCACAGUUCAUGGAAAUAGCCAGCACAGGUUUUUCAACCACCGGUAGAUCCAUCAGGAGUUCACGACGCCACUCGGCCUCAGCACCGGCGGUGUCUAAUGUUGUGAGUUCUGCUUCCAUGGUUGACUUCGUUAAGAUAGUCUGCUUGCAAGACUUCCAUGAAACAGCGCCACCUCCAAGUAUAAACACAUAUCCACUUGUGGCCUUUAACACAUCAGCAUCAGAUAUCCAAUUUGCAUCACAAUAACCCUCUAAUACCUUCGGGUAUCCGGUAUAGUGAAUGCCAUAGCUCACUGUACCUUUCAGAUAGCGCAUCACUCUCUCAAGAGCUUGCCAAUGAAUAUCUCCCGGAUUUGACACAAACCGGCUAAGUUUGCUCACUGCAAACGAGAUAUCAGGCCUCGUGGCACUAGCAAGGUACAUCUAUGAGCCUAUAAUUUGGGAGAAUCUUAGUUGAUCACUUGCUAUUCUUCGAUUUUUCCUCAAUAGCACACUAGGAUCAUAAGGCGUAGGAGCAGAUUGACAGUCACUGUACCCAAAGCGACUUAAAAUCUUUUCCACGUAGUGGGACUGCACAAGUGUAAUCCCACCAUUGCCUUCUCUUGAAAGCUUAAUGUUUAGAAUAACAUCAGCUUCUCCCAAAUCUUUCAUCUCAAAGUUAUUAGACAAAAAGUCUUUAACUUCCUUGAUCACAACAAGGCUUGUCCCAAAGAUCAGUAUGUCAUCCAUGUACAGACAAAGGAUCACACCUUCACCCCCACCAAACCGAUAGUACACACAUUUGUCAGCUUCAUUAACAGCAAAGCCGGCAGAAGUUAAGGUUCUGUCAAACUUCUCAUGCCAUUGUUUUGGAGCUUGUUUUAGGCCAUAAAGGGAUUUUAAUAACUUACAUACCUUGCCCUUUUGACCACUUGUUACAAAUCCAUCAGGCUGAUCCAUAUAGAUCUCUUCCUCUAACUCUCCAUUUAGGAAAGCUGUCUUCACAUCCAUCUGAUGAAUGAGAAGACCAUGGGAGGUAGCCAAAGACAGUAACACUCGAAUUGUGGUCAAACGGGCAACAGGUGAAUAAGUAUCAAAGAAAUCUUCCCCUUCUCUUUGGGUAUAACCCUUAGCCACAAGCCUAGCCUUGUACCUCUCAAUAGUACCAUCAGGCCUAAGCUUUUUCUUGAACACCCAUUUACACCCUAUAGGUUUACACCCAUAAGGUCGUUCAACCACUUCCCAAGUUCCAUUAGACAUUAUAGAAUCCAUCUCAUUCCUUAUUGCUUCCUUCCACAAGUCAGCAUCAGGAGAGGAAAAUGCCUCUUUAAUGGUUGUUGGGGUAUCAUCUACGAGGUACACAAUAUAGUCAUCUCCAAAAGACUUCACUUUUCUUUGUCUUUUGCUCGUUCGAGUGACUACAUUAUCAUCCUCCUCAGGAUAGUGAACAUGGGGUUCCUCAGAUUGUUCUAUCGGAAUAAAUUGCUCAUGGGAGUUUAUAGACUCAUGACUAGAAAUAUUAGGUGUACUUUUCAUAGAAAACUCACUUUCAAAGAAUGUUGCAUCUCUAGAUUCCAUUAUAGUAACAACAUGCAUAUCUGGUACUCCAGAGUUUAUAAUUAAAAACCUAUACCCUAUGCUGUGAGUAGCAUAACCAAGGAAAAUACAGUCAACUGUCUUAGGUCCGAGUUUGCGUUUCUUGUUUAUUGGCACAUUCACUUUAGCCAAACAACCCCAAGUACGCAAAUAGGAGACAUUUACUCUUUUCUUUUUCCAUUCCUCAAAUGGUGUGAUUUCUUUAUUCUUUGUAGGAACUCUAUUUAGGACAUGACUCGCUGUCAAUAUCGCCUCACCCCACCAUUCCUUAGAUAGACCCGAAGUCUCUAACAUGGCGUUAACCAUCUCAGUUAGAGUACGGUUCUUUCUUUCGGCAAUCCCAUUGGACUGUGGUGAGUAUGGCGGUGUCCUCUCAUGAAUAAUUUCAUGUUCUACGCAGAAGUGAGAAAAAUCACUUGAAAAAUAUUCUCCACCACGAUCGGACCUUAAGCGUUUAAUUUUCCUCUCAAGUUGAUUUUCUACUUCAGCUUUAUAGGCUUUAAAAUAUUGUAAUGCUUCAUCCUUUGUUUUAAGAAAGUACACAUGACAAAAUCUAGUACAAUCGUCUAUAAAAGUGAUGAAGUAUCGUUUACCACCUUUAGUCAACUCACCAUUUAUCUCGCAUAGAUCGGAAUAGAUUAGUUCUAAUGGUGCCAAGUUCCUCGCCUCCGCAGCCUUGUGAGGCUUGCGAGGUUGCUUGGCUUGCACGCAUACAUGGCACUUAGAACCUUUGACUAAAUUAAAUUUCGGAAUUAAAUUCAUAUUUGCUAGCCGCGUUAAACAACUAUAAUUAACAUGACAGAAUCGCGAAUGGCAAAUAUUCGACUCAUUCGAAAUCACAGUAUGGUUCACGAUUUUAUUACAUACAUCAUGCAUGGAUAAGUGGAAUAAGCCUCCGCAAUCAUAACCUUUACCAAUAAAAGUUCCAAACUUUGAAAGUAUAACUUUAUUGGCCUCAAAGACUAUUUUGUAGCCAUCUCUACAAAGCUGUGAGCCGCUAACUAGAUUCUUUUUGAUGGAGGAGACAUGCUGCACGUUCUUCAUCAGCACUGUCUUUCCCGAAGUGAACUUCAGAAUGACCGUAUCAACACCAAGAACACGCGCAUGAGAGUCGUUCCCCAUUAGUAAGGCUCCAGUGUUGCCGGCCUGAUAAGAAGAAAAUAAAGAGAUGUCAGCACACACAUGAACAUUAGCCCCAGUAUCCAUCCACCACUCAGGUGAAUGACAGACUGAAAGAACAGUAGGUAAAUAAUUACCAUACCCAGAUGUUCCUCCUUCAGCCUCGCCAAUGACCAUGUUUACUGACUUUUUCUCUUCUCGUUUAAAUUUGCGGUCUGGACAACCACUCGCCCAGUGGUCAUCGCUACCGCAAACAAAGCAGCCACCAUCUGCCUUUUUCUUCUUAAAAGUUGCAGUUUGUUUUGGCUUUAGGUUUGCUCCUUGCUUGUUCUCUUGCUUGUUCUUUUUCUUAUUACGGAAUGCGAAUUGCUUUUUCUUCUGCACCACAUUGGCACUAGAAGACUCAACGCCUUUCCCAUGUGUAUCUUUUGCUCUCGCCUUCUCAACAUCAAGAGUCCCCAUGAGUUCAGCAAGACCAAACUCUUUCCUCUGAUGUUUUAGAGAAGUAGCAAAAUCCUUCCAAGAAGGUGACAGCUUAGCGAUUAUACCGCCGGCCUCAAACUUUUCAGGCAAUACACAAGGAAAUUGUUCUAGUUCCUUAGCUAGUGUUUGUAUCUCAUGUGCUUGUUCACAGAACGGCUAUCCACCAUCUUGUAAUCAAACAAUUGUUCCAUGAGGUACAGCUCGCUACCAGCAUCAGAAACCCCGAACUUGGCCUCAAGCGCAUCCCAUAAUUCUUUAGCCGUGGUGCAAAUAAUAUAGUUGUCGACAUACUUUUUAUCGAGCGCACUUAUGACGGCGCCUCUGAAGAGGUUAUCAGCAGCCAUGAAUGUUUUCUCCUUCUCAGAAGUAAACUGUUCCGGCUUCCCCUUCGCGACGUCAUAGCAACUCAUAGCAGUCAACCACAGUAUCAUUCUCGCGCGCCACCGCUUAUAGUUUGAACCAUCGAACGCAUCCGGUUUUAACGCAGCAGCAAAACCACUAACAGAAAAAUACCUAAUAUCAGGUUUUUAGAAUGUUAGAAAUUUAGACAUUUUAAUGUUUGAUUUAAUCCAGAAAAUUACCUAUAAAAUUGCGGUGGCAUAUAUGUGUACGUGUGCAAUUUUAUCACUACUCAGAUUAGAGAUAAACAUUGCAAGAACUACUGCAACUACAGCAGACAUACUGAAAGUAAAAAACAAUCGUUUAAGAUUGUACCCAGAGGAGGGACCAGUGCUGAAGGCACCAGCGGCUCCAUUCGCACUAGUCGACAUAGUGCGUUGCUCGAAGUAGCGGACCACAGUCGGUGCAGGAAGAUGUUCGCAGUGCAGUCCCGCGAACGGCCACCAGGAAGAAGACGAAGACGCCGUAGUCGAUCCAGGUGUCUCGUUGCAAGGCAUCGGGAUCCGGAGGCCUGCUCUCCCGAUCUCUGUGCGCGCAGAGGUUCGGAACGGGAAUGGACAGAAAGCAACUCGACAGGAGAGAGAGGACUGAAUGUGUUCUCGCUAGUAUGGAAAGAGUGAGUGCGUAUGGAAUAUAUAGGCCUCAGGAGGAAACGUCUGAUUGAUGACAAUUAAUCUCAUUUAAUUGUCAUAAACCGAGUCAAUCAAUUAGCAAUUAAUUGCCAUUAAUUACACAACGGUCAGAUCCCAUUUUCCACCCUUUUCUUAUUCACCACGCAUAUGUGCCACAAGACACGGCUCGGCGGCGGCGGCGCGCGCGUGUGGCACCCCUUCACCCUCCCUCAACUUCUCCAUAGGGGCUAACAAAGACCACCUAUUUAAGUUGAGUUAACACAUGGUCAAUCAUCAAUAUGGUACUAAACCAUUUUCAUUAUAGCAUUAAUUAUGGACCCUUGAAUUAAUCAUCAAAUAUAAUUAUGGGCUAAAGGCCCUUUAUAUUCAACAUGCCUCGCCUACAUGAAUAUAAAUACACACCAAAUGUUUCCAAACUAAAGGUGACAAAUUUGAAGUGAUUCUUUUAUCACCAACUAAGGCAUCCCUUUUAUAGGAGUGGCAUAAAAAAGAACUCAUAGAGAACCUUUUGCUCGCUCCUCGAAAAAAAACAAAAAAAAUAUAACUUCUAGCUCUGCCCUGAGUAUCAUGUGCGUGGAAUGAAAGAAGGCAAAGAGCUUACUAUGGAAAUGAGAGGCAUCAAGAAAUAAGAAAGCACGAGGGAAGCUUGGUCACGGCAUUGAAGCUUGGUCUCGUUGUAUUUUUUUACUCCGAUUAACAUGACAAAUUACUUUGCUGAAAUAAUGUUUGGCGAAGAGACCCCACUGCUUUUUACUCAACAGAUUUGUUAGGACUGCUUUUACUCGACAUUAUUAAACAAAAGGAUUGUUUAACAGUCCAACAAAAGAAUCUUUUAAACAGUCAGAAAAACAGUUUAAAUAGUGUGUUUAAAUCGUCAUACAUUUAUUUCUUAAGGUGGUUGGUGUUAUCGGUGACCUCUAAAAAUCAAUUUCUAGAGAUAGAUCUAAAAAAAUUAAAUACACUUUAAAAAUUGUUGAACUCUGCAUCUAAAACUAAUUGGAGCGGUUAUAUAUAUAAUUAGAAUUGAAACUCAAAGGAAUAUAUUAAAUAAAAAAUUCAAUAGAUUUAUUAGCAAACAAGUAGGAGUGCAAUGAAAAAUGCAUUAUAGUGGGAUUCAGCACGUAUUCAUAUGUGUCAUGACUAGGAAUGAAAACGGAUCGGAUACGAACGGAUACCACUGAUAUCAUAUUUGUUUUCAUAUUUUUGGUCGGAUUCGGAUUCGAAUACGGAUAAUAUCAACAAUGUUGGAUAAGAUACGAUUGGAUGUCGACAUCAUAAAUAUACGAUUCAAAUAUUCGGAUACGGAUACGGUAUCAGAUAUUAAACAUUCGAACUCGGAUACGGACAGAUCUCAACCUCUCUAAACGAAUUCGGUCUCGAAUACGGUCGGAAAAUAUCCGUACCAUUUUCAUCCCUAGUCAUGACUCAUGAUUUGGUUGAGGUGGAGGAGCUAAUGAACACCUUACACGCAGGUAGUGAGAAGGAGAAGAGUCAUACGAGGACUGUCGCCUUGGUAUUGACCUUGUUGGGAUGUGUCAUGGUAAAAUGGAAACCACACUCUUGCAUUGCCACCGGAGAUGCUAUGGUGAUGAGGAGAAGCAGCAGAAUGGGUGGGCUGUCGUGCUUGGCUCAUAGAGGCCAUUGCUCUCUUAUAUCAUAAGCUAGGGGUAUGGGUUAAAUUUCUUCUCCCGUUACAAGUUACUACAACACAAGGACAUGUUUGGUACGAAAUAAUAAAGAAGAAGAUGACUUGAUAGCAUGAUUAUAUUCAUGUGCAACUAUGAAUGUGUCCACAAAAUGUGUCUGGCCUCUACUUGAAUAUAAAAUUAUAAAUACACAACAAAUGUCUGCAAACAAAAGGUCACAAAUUUGAAGUGAUUCUUCCAACCAAUAUAUAUACUAGGGCACCCUUUCUUUGGAGCGACUUCAAGAAAACUGAGGGAACUUUUAGCUCUCGCUCCUCGCAAAAGCAAAAGCAAAAACAAAAACAAAAGAACUUUUAGCUCUGCCCUGUGUAUGAUGAUGUGCAUGGAAUAAUAUGCAAAGAACGCAAAGAGCUAAUGAUGGAAAUGAGAGGUAUCGAGAAACAAGACAGCAGGAGGGGCUUUCAUCCACAAAAAUAUCCGAUCCACAAGAGAUGUUGGAUCCAAAGUGAUGGGUACGUGUGCAGAGAGAGUUUUCACUUUUUAGACGUGGGUUGCUCGAUAACAACACGAUGGAGCAGUCAUGGAGGAUUACUGCCACGAUAGAGCCCAAUCUUGAAAAAUGCAUAAAAAAAGAAUUCGGCAAGGCGAGUUGAUAUCUGUGCAGGGUCGUGGAUUACGGUAGAGAGCUGAUGUGUUUUUUAUUUAUCAUUUCAUCUCAGCCGUUGGAUUACGGUAGAGCUGAUGUGUUUUGUGUGAGGAGAUGGGUGGAUGACACGUGGGUCUAGGGUGUAUAGCUGUCAGAGGGACACCUUAUUUCCUGCAUGUCACAGGUGUCAUGUGUUUUAUUAAACUGUCUGGCGUGUAGCGCUAGACCAUCCAGUAGGUCAUAUGCUAUACAAAAACUGUGUAGACUUGUCAGCUUGAUAUGCAAGUUUCUGAUAUUAUAUUUUUUUUUAAAGUACAGACUAAGCUUCUGAUACUUGUGAAAAAAGAGUUAACACGACUGGGCGUGAUAUAGUACGUGAAAUUAAAGAAGGUAUACUUAGGCCUUGUUUAGUUUGCAAAAAUUUUCAAGAUUCUCCGUCACAUCGAAUCUUUGGUCACAUACAUAAAGCACUAAAUAAAGAUAAAAAUAAAAACUAAUUACACAGUUUACCUGAAAUUUGUGAGAUGAAUCUUAUCAAGCAUGAGUCAACCCUCUCCCUCUCGCCGCUACGGAAGGGAGAGGAGGGGCCACAACACAACUGAAACUCGCUUGGGGCCCAUGGGCCUGCGGAGUACCUUCCAGAGGAAACCUCUCUACACGGACCCCCCCCCCCCCCCCUCCUCUCACCCGGUCAAGUUUCAGGCUUGGACUUUGUCCCUGACCUUGAGGAUUAUAGCGUGACAGACACAGCGUCACAUAGUAUUUUGCCUAAUAAACUCAUUUAAAUUGUCAUCUAUACAUGCGUAAAUGAGAAACUAUGGAUAUACAAUGUAGUUUAUUCCCUAAACAGGAAUUGAAAAACAUAUAAAUGGUAAAAAAAAGUUUCAACCAUGUAUUUUAUGUCGUGAUAAAAGUGGAAACGCAUGUUUGCAAUCCGAGAAUGGUGAGCAGAAGCGAUAGAAUGGGUGGGGUGUGUUGCUUAACUCGUAGAUGGCGUUGACCUGUGGUCAAGUCAUGUUUACUCUGCUCAUGACGUGUCUAUUUACAACACACACGCACAUACUCGUAGUAUCAAGUAAUAGAGGAGAAAGAUGCCUUGCGAGCAAGAGUCGCAAUUAUAGUAUUCUGCAUGCACAACUAUUGAAUGCAUCGAUAUAUACAUCGCCUACUUGAAUAUAAAUACACACAACAAAUGUUAGCAAAGUGAAGGUAACAAAUUGAAACGAUUCUCGAUCUUCAUUCUGACCAAUAUAUAUACACACAAGGGCACGUCCUUUCUUUGGAACCACAGCAAAUUAUCACUCAUAAAGAAAUUUUAGCUCGCUCCUGAAAAAAAAACACAUAACUUUUAGGUCUGCCCUGAGUCGUAUCAAUCAUGUGGAGUGCAAAGGAAGGCAAGCAGCAGAUGAUAGAAAUGAGAGGCAUCGAGAAACAACCUUGCAGUAGUAGUUUUCUUUCGAGCUUGGCUUAAAUUAUCCGAUCCCCAAGAAAUUUUAGCUCGCUCUCAAGCUAAGCAGCUGGGGUAUGAGAAUAUGGGCACGUUUCUUAUUCCACAAACUUCGUCCCGAAACGCGGGACAGGAAUAUCAUAGGACAUCAUUCCCAAAUGCAAUGGAACGCGAAUCGUAUCCAGAAGCAACAAGAGGAAUGUUGAGUACCAAACGCCUGUGGAACGUGACUCGCAGCCAUAGCGAUUCGGGGACAUACGAAGCUUAGGCGCGGAAGAAAACGCACCUCAAAAGAAGAUGAUGAUGAAUUGAUGUGAGAGGGCUAUGAGUAUCUAUUUUAACAAGCAUGUAGUCAUAUAAUCAUGUUCAUGUAGUACACCAGUGCACUUUUGCUUAAAUGGACAUAUUUGCUAGUAAUACUUACUCCAUCUAUUAUUGUUUGAUUUAGAUCAAAUCAUACAUGUAACAUUUGCCUAAUCUAUAUCUCCUAUAUAAAGAUAAACCCCACUAGCACAUAUAAUUACUCCCUCCGUUCUGCGUUCAACGGUAGUUGCGUGAAAGGAGGACGUUAGCUUGUUUCAAUGGCACUUUGGACGCUGAUGCCCCUCUGUGUGAGCCCGUUCACAUACUCUUGUCAUUAAUUGCGCCGUCCUCCAGUGAAGAGAUUGUGCGCUGAACGUCCAACGCAAGUCUAGCACCAUGCAAAAAUUUAAAAAAUACAGCAGCCCAAGUCCAGUACCAUGCAAAAUUUUAAAAAAUACAGCAGCCGCCACGAAUUGAACCGGCGACCUUUGGUCUUAGCUAUAGAGUCUUGGCCAGCUAAGUUACAAUUGACUGUUGUAGGGUAGCACCACACACUGUAUUUAAUAAAGACAAGACAGGAAAACUAACCCCUAAUUAAUCAUCCCUUGGUAAUCAUACUCAUGUUCUAAAUAUCAUCUAAUUAGGAUACAGAGGAAUAUGAUAGUUUCUCUUCAUCCACUAACAUGUAUUUGGUUCUCCACAAAGAUGUGUCAAUCCAUCCAUCAAAGUUAGUUUAAGAUAGUUUCACUCAUAUAACAAUAAAUAUAACCAAUCUAAUUUCUUUUUAAAUUAUUUGGAAUACCCACAACAACACGUGGGGUAUCUACCUAGUGUUUUUUAAUGACAUAUAUUUCUCGUUCCAUUUCGAUUUGGUACGUGUUCUCUUUCGAUUUGGUACACGUUUCGUAAACAUCUUCCUUAUUUUCGGGAACGUGUUCCAUGUCAUCGUUUUAUUUCGAUUUGGUACGUGUUCCGUUUAGGUUUGAUACGAGCUGCAGCUGUAUACCCCUCUCGUUCCAUAGGUUUUGAAGAUGUUGUACAGCGUACCACGUUUCCGUACCACGUCCCCAACGUUCGGGGAACAUGGCUGCUAAGCUCUGAAGACAGUGUCAAGAAAGAUGCCUUGAGAGCAAAAAAAAAGAGCCAUUGAGCCUUGACCACGUUUUCUAUUGGCCUGCGCUUCCCCUCUUUUUUUUCUUUUCUUUUUUUUGGUUCUAGCUUCCCAAAAAUUUCCGUGUUGUCACAUGGUAUGUAGCUUCCGGUUAUUAGUCUAAAGCUACCAUUUUAUUUAUCAUUUCAUCUCGGCCGUUGAAAGUUUAUAUUUUCACGGAUUAAUAUGAGAAUUUAUUGAGUAUCAUACAUAGUGCAAUGGUACGGAUACAGGAAGCAAUCUAUAGGUUAGGAGUUUGACUUCCCCGUUCUCAAAAAAAAAAAGGGCCACGUGCUCCUUGUGCUAUAUUGGAGCCACCCUGUCUUCGGCGGGACAUAUACGGAUAGUAGCGAAGCUAGAGUAAAAUUAAGAGGGUGCAUUUGGUUUUUGAUGUAUAAACUUGUGUUAUUAGAGCAUUUUCAAGAUAUUAGCUAAAUCAUUUUCUUAAGAUAAAUUUAGCUAUUUGAAGAAAAAAAUUUUCCAACAGACUCUGUAAAUAACUCUCCAAUCUAUCACUACACCACAGCCCUAAUACAGCGUCACAUAUGUGUCGUUAUAAAUGAACUAGUACCAUUCAAUAUUCAGUCGGUAUACCAUGUCUACCGAUUAUUUGUCGGAAAACAUUUGUUUGGCAUUCGAGCAUCGGUCGUUAUAAAUUUUGGGCUAUAUGGUUCAACGAUUUAUCGGGACAGUUCAUCAAAGAGAGCCCACCAUUGGUCGGAAUAGGGCCAUACCCCUUCGGCGCCCGGCCCGUUUAGAAGAGCCCCAAACCCUAACUUAUCCCCUCCUGCCGUCCACUCCUGUGCGCCCGAAAUAGAGAAGAGGAGACGGCGGCGCGUAGGCGACUGGUGGCGGCGCGUACACGGCGGCGCGAAGGCGACUGGCGGCGGCGCGACUGGCGACUGGCGGAGGAGCGAGGAGCUCGUUCAAGCUGGAGCACACCCUCGGUUCGUAAGUACCCCCGGCCUCCAAUCCCUUCCCUGUUCCAAGUCGCUGCUCCAAUCCCCUCCCCGACCUGGAGAAGCUGCCGUCGCAGCCGGCGGCGAGCUUCCACAUGAAGCGUGUCACGAUGUGGUGCACGGCCACCAGCGUCUCCACCUUGGCGAACUCGUUCCCGGGGCAGAUGCGCGCGCCGCCGCCGAACGGGAAGAUGGCCGGGGUCGAACCGGCCGGGGUCCGGGAAGAUGGCCGGGCUCCACUGCAUGGAAGGAUUAGUGAUUCCCUGUUUUGCUCUCUAGAUGCUUUGAUUCAGUUUAGAAUUUAUUUAUAUUUGGGCUUUGAGGCUGGAUACUUUAUAGUUUGCAUAUCCAGUUAGAGCAACUCCCUUUCUAUGUAUCUUCAACUAUCAUUUUAGUCUUCUAUGUAUUCAGAGAUAUUUGCAUUGAUAUUCAGAACUAUUUGCAUUGGUAUUUAGUAAUAUUUGCAUUGGUAUUCAGAAAUAUUUGCAUUGGUAUUCAGAAAUAUUUGCAUUGGUAUUCAAAAAUAUUUGCAUUGGUAUUCAGAAAUAUUUGCAUUGGUAUUCAGAAAUAUUUGCAUUGGUAUUCAGAAAUAUUUGCAUGGGUAAUCAAAUCUACUUGUACAUGUACUCAUCUUAUGUCAUGUGUACUCACACUACAGGUGCCUUGUUGAGUUGGUGUUGUAGCUGAAAGAAUCUCCACAGGACCGUUUACUCCAGCUUUAAGCCUAAGUGGCAACGGUAUGAUCCUCUAUCUGCAGCUACAUGCCAUCUUUGUUAAUAUUGUUUGAGAUCAUGAACACGACAAUCGUGUUUAAAUUAAAGCUGCUUAUGGUAUUUAUUUAUUUUAUAGUUCAUUUCUAAAGUUGCUUGAUAUUUCACAAAGAAGGAUGGAUAAAUCAUGGAUCGAUAAUGAUGCUAGGUACCAACACUAUUUUUAGAAAGACUAAAAGUUCUAUCUUCAGUUAACAUAGGAAUUAACUUAAAAACUGCAUGUAGGCACACCGAGAUGUAUCAACAAGGGGUGAACAAUUUCAUAGCUUUUGCAUUUGAGAAUUCAGCUGUAGGAAGCAAGAUAUUAUGCCCUUGUACAAAGUGUGUUAACUCAUUUUGGAAAGAGGGAAGUGAAGUACGUGAGCAUUUGAUAUGUGAUGGGUUUUUAAAAGGGUACAGGACAUGGACCUUACAUGGAGAAGUUAGCUCUUAUUUGAAUCAUGGAAAUGAUGGUGUUGAACUUAUGGAGGAGACUGACGAAGAUGAUAACAUCUCUGAUUUCCUUAGAGAUUUAGCUGCUGGUAUAGAUGACAGAGGGGAUUUUGAUCACAACAAUGAAGACCUAGAGCCCUGUGCAGAGCUAGCUGCCAUUAAAAAGUUAGUAUCAGAGAAUAAAAAAGAGUUAUACCCUGGUUGCAAGAAAUAUACACAGCUGCGUUUCCUAAUUAGGUUACUCCACACCAAACUCCUUGGAGGGUGGAGUGAUAAGAGUUUUAACCUGCUACUAGAUCUACUAAAUGAUGCAUUACCUGAGGGUUCGAUGCUACCUAGAAACUUUCAUGAAGCUAAGAAAUUGGUGAAAUCGAUAGGAAUCGGAUACAAUAGUAUUCAUGCUUGUGAAAAUGACUGCAUUCUAUUUUGGAAGGAUAAAGAGGGGUUGGAUUCCUGUCCAAAAUGUAAGGCUUCUUGGUGGAAAUCAAUAAGGAAGGCCUAUGAUGGAAAACAUGUAUAUAAGGUUCCUAAAAAGGUUCUCCGCUACUUUCCAAUAAAGAAAUGUCUUCAACGCUUAUUUCUAUCAUCUAAAACAGCUAGUCUAGUGAGAUGGCAUGAUGAAGGCCGAAAAAAGGAUGGUCUACUUAGGCAUCCUGCAGAUUCUCUACUAUGGCAAGACUUUGAUAAGAAACAUCCAGAAUUUGCUAAAGAUAGCCGAAAUAUCCGUUUAGCAUUUGCCACUGAUGGUUUCAAUCCAUUUAGGACCAUGAAUGUUACUUAUAGUGUUUGGCCUGGUAUUUGUAUUCCCUACAACUUUCCACCUUCAAUGUGCAUGAAGAAAUCAAAUUUCAUCCUCUCUUUGUUGAUCCCUGGUCCAGAAGCUCCUGGAAGUGAUAUGGAUGUCUAUUAUCAGCCACUAGUUGAAGAUCUAUUAGAUUUGUUUACCAAGGGAGUUAGAACAUACGAUGCUUCGAAAGGGGAGUUUUUUCAGUUGAGGGCAGCAGUACUAUGGACUAUUACUGACUUCCCUGGUUUAGGCUAUGUGUCCGGGUCUGUCACAUCUGGUGAAGCUGGAUGUCCUGAUUGUCAUAGCUACACAUGUUCACUUAGGCUUGGGAAUGGUAGCAAGACUUGUUAUAUGGGUCAUCGCAGGUUCUUGCCUGAAAACCACCCAUUUAGGUUUGAUGCUAAUAAGUUUGAUGGUAAAACUGAAUUUAGGGCAGCACCUACUCCACUUUCUGGGGAGCAGAUUUUGGAGUGCACUAAAGACAUUAAUCAUAUUUUUGGUAAAGAUCCUUCUAGAAAGAAACCAGCAAGCAAGAGACGUAAGGAAGGAGAGCCAUUGGUCAUACUGAAAAGGAGAUGUAUAUGGUUUAAACUACCUUAUUGGAAAGAUUUGAUGUUGCGACAUAACUUUGACUUCAUGCACAUAGGAAAAAACGUGAGUGAAAGCUUAGUUAAUACAUUCCUAGGCACAGAAGGGAAAUCCAAGGAUAAUUUGAAUUCUCGUUUGGACCUUCAAGCUCUAGGUAUUAGAAGUGAUCUCCACCCUAUUGAAGUGGAUGGCCAACUUUAUUUACCACCAGCUCCAUACUCAAUGAGUCCCGAUGAGAAGAAAUUAUUCUGUCAAGUCCUGAAGGGGGUCAAGUUUCCUGAUGGAUACGCCUCUGAUAUACGUCAAAAUAUACAUGUUAGUGAGAGGAAGAUAUUUGGCCUUAAGAGUCACGAGAGCCACAUUAUUUUACAACACUUGCUUCCACUAGCUGUGAGAAAAAUAUUGCCUGAAACUGUGAGUGCUGCAGUGAUCCAUAUAUGUAAUUUUUUCAAGAAACUUUCCUCCCCUGUCAUUAGAAUAAGUGAUAUGGAAAAUUUAGAGGUUGAAAUAGCUGAAACAUUGAGCCUUCUUGAGACUAUAUUCCUUCCUAUCUUCUUUGACAUCAUGGUCCACUUGAUGGUUCAUCUUCCUGCCCAAGCAAAGAUACCUGGACCAGUUCAUUUUCGUAGUAUGUGGCCUGUGGAGAGGUAUCUGAUGAGACUGAAGGGUUCUGUUCGUACAAAAAGUCACCCUGAGGGAUCAAUGAUGGAGUGGUCUAAUUUUACAGAAUGCCUUACACUUUUUUCACGCUACUUACAUGAUGGGACUCAGACCACACCUCAGUUUGGAGAUGAAGAAUGUACCACAACUCCUUUCUUUGGUACCAUUGGUCGAGGAUUGGCCAGAAAGUGUUUAGUGAGUAUUGAUCACAAGACAUGGCUGCAAGCCCAUAGAUAUGUUUUGUUCAACUAUGACAGUAUACAACCUUACUUGGAGUAAGUUAUCUAGACCCAUUGUCACACUUUUCAUCACAUGGUUGGUUUUCUUUGCAUACUAAAGUGAUAAACUGAUGCACCUUGCAGCAAGCAUGCUCACUAUCUAUCAUCAAUUGGUCUUCGAAAUAGACGAGACAUCAAUUGCAUGCAUCAUGAAUCCUUUCAUGAGUGGUUUAGGCUGCAUGUAAGUAGUAAUAAAACCUAACACUAGUAAAUUUGGAUUUUGCAUGUAUAUUAAUUGUAAUUUCAAAAUCACAGGUGGAGGAAAUGGGAGAGGAAGCCCCUGAUGAGAUAAAAAUUUUAGCUAAGGGGCCUGCAAUGUUUGCACAUAAAUAUAGUAGUUAUAACAUAAAUGGAUUCAACAUUCACAUAGUUUCUUAUGAUGAGGGUAGACCUAUUCAAAGUAGUGGGGUUGCUCUAGUUGCUGAGUCCCCAAACUUUGAAAGUGGUAAUAAUGAUAGCCUGUUAGUAGGAAGCAAGACAUAUUUUGCUAUUAUAACUGAAAUUCUUGAACUGAACUAUCACCACAAAGGAAAUGUGGUGCUUUUCAAGUGUGAUUGGGUCGACAACCGUGUGCGAAACAAAUGGGUACAAACAGAUCAUUUUGGGAUCACAUCUGUGAAUUUUAAGCAUUUAUUCAAUACAGGUGAAAAGAUAUCCGAUGAGCCUUUCAUUUUAGCAACUCAAGCAACUCAAGUAUACUAUGUCCCUGAAGCAGUUGAUACUGAGUGGGUUGUUGUUGUUCAGUCAGUCCAAAGAGAUGUGUGUGACUUUGAUAACUUGGAGGAUGAUCACAUUGCUAAUCAUAAUGGCCUAGUGUACCUGCCUAAUAUAAAUGGCAAUGUGACUGUGGAUAUUAUUAAUGGGGUUGUCCCAUCUAUUAGAACAGACAUAGAUGGUAUUAUUGUUGCUAAAAAGAAUGAUAGAAAAGGUUCUAGAAAGUAAGUUUUCUAUGUAUAUUGUUGCUACAGACUCACAUAUUGUGUUUAUUGUUUUCCUCUGAGUAUUGCUAUGUUUUUUGUCCAUUCAUAGGAGGAAGCAUGCCGACAACUAGGAGAACCAGUAAGGAUGCCCCUGUCAAUCCUUAUGAGAAAUGUCGAAAUGAAACAAUUGCAGCGAACAACAGGAAGCUUCAAUCUCUAAAUCUGCCUCCUAUGCAGAACUUAGGACAAAAUGGUCAAUCUAGUAAAAGAACAAAGGUGUUAGACAAAAUCAUUGCAUAUUUCUGUUGCAUAUUGAUAACUUUUAUUUAUAGUGUUAUGUCCCUUUUUCUAUAGAGAACACACCAAUCAAAUGAUGCAGCAGCUGAUUUGCCCAAUCUGCGCCGGUCACAAAGACAGGCUGAAAUUGCAAGUCAGCAGAUUGAAGAAGAAGACCCUGAGUAUCAACCAAAUGGAGAUGAUUUAAUCAAUGAUGAAGGUCUUGUAUAGUGUUACAUGCUGCAUCACAAAUAUCGUUUCAUGUUACAUGUUUCUAAUUUAAAAUUGUUUACUACAGAUCAUCAUACUAUUUCACCAAAGAAGAGGAAAGCAAGAAGCAUCACAAGGAUGGAUAACUUGUUUGCAAGAACACCAAACAUGUCUAAGAUCCCAAUAAUGCUCAAUGAAUUUGCACAGCCUAUUGGAGAUUAUUAUAGACAAUUUUCUAGUGUUAUUGGUUGUCUAGUGAGAAAGAGUUUAUCUGUUGGUUGUUCAGACUCGAGGCAUGUUGAUAUUAACAAGAAAAACCAAGUGUGGGAAGCUUUAAAGGUAAUGCCCCUACCCUGUCCUCUUGACAUGUAUACUGAUUUGGCAUGAAGUGUGGGUGGUUCCAUCCCAAUCCUCUUUAGAUUAUUGUGUUAAGGACUGAUUUGGUGUGUUUUAUUCAUGAAACAUAGGAAAUCUAUGACAUUGAUGAGGCGGCCAAAAACUGGGUUCUGCUCACUGUUGCAAGGAAAUGGAAGGAAUUUAAGUCUACCUUGAAGGCAGAUUUUUUUAAUGAAAAUUUAACAAAUGAGCAACUGCAGCGAAAACAUGGUGAUAGAGUUAAAGAUGAUGACUGGAAGUUUCUGAUUAAGCAUUGGACCUCUCCUGAAUUUGAAGUGAGAUAAUUUUUAUCUAUGCAUAUUUGGACUUGUGUACUUCAAUAUAUUUGCAAAAUCUAACUGUUUGUAUCCUAGGCUCGAAGGGAAAUAUCGAAAGCUAAUCGUGCCAAGUUGGGGAUACAUCAUACCUCUAGAAGCAAGAGCUUUGCUGCUUAUAGGCAUGAAAUGGUAUAGAAGAUGCAUUGAAUUUUAGUGCAUUUAUUUUGCUGCCGUUAUAACACAGAAUUGAAACAAUUUCAGAGUGUACAGCUAGGGAGACCGGUUCGAAGAGAUGAAGUCUAUAUUAGAACACAUACAAGGAAAACUGGAGUUCCAACCCAACAAGCAGUGCCAAUAAUUGUAAGUUCUUUCAUAAUAGAAUUGUAGUCAGUAGCUGAAUUGAUCUUUCAUAACUGAUUUGAUAUUUGCAUAACAUCCAACUUCCUUUUUGUUAGAACAAACUUAAAUCAAUUGCUGAAGCCCACCCAGAGUUGACAGAAAGAUCAAUUCAACAAGGUGAUGUUCUUGCUGCUGCCUGUGGAGAAAAGGAGCCAAGAGGGCAUGUUCGGGCUUUGGGUCUAGGACCAACUCCCCAAGACAUUGGUACCCCUGGUUUGAGGUGCUACAAGUCAACAAGGCUACAAAUGGAAGUUCUAGCUCAUCACAAGGUUGAGAGUGACAAAGCCGCUCUUGAACGACGCAUACAAGAAUUGGAAGAGCAACUGCAGGAAAGAAGAAAUUUGGAAAUAAGCUCGUAGAAUUGUUCUAACUCACGGAGCCAUGUGGUAAAUGUCUUCUCCCGACUUAGAAUUACUUCAGUCUUGAUUAUUGAAUGUAUGUUAUACUGGAUAUUAAUGUGACAUGUUAUGACUUCUCUUGUCUUGUUUAUGUAGAGUCCAAGGUCUCAAGAACAUGUUGAUGAGGCACAAGCACAUGAUGGUCAAGCAUUUGAAGAUGAGGUUUUUCCAUAUAUUAAUGAUAACUCUGAACAAUCUGAUCAAGAAGAUUAUUUGCUUCUUCGUAGGCCUCCUGCUGCCCCAUCUACACAGCUUGGUAAUUUCCUAUCUACACAGCGUGCUGCUGCCUUAUCUGCACGUGCUUCUGCCCUACCUACACCUCAUGCUCCUACCCUAUCUGAUCAACAUACUCCUGCCCUCUCUGAGCGUGCUGCUACCUUGUCUGCAUUGCGUGGUCUUGCCUUAUCUGUGCAGCCUGCUACUGCCCCGUCCACGCAACAUGCUACUAACCUAUCCGCGCAGCCUGCUAAUGCCUCGUCCAUGCAGCGUGCUGCUGGCCAGUUCGCGCAGCGUGCUGCUGGCCUAUCCGCGCAGCAUCCUGCUGCCCUGUCCACGUCGACACAUCGUGCUGGUGGCUUGUCCACGCAACCUGCUCCUGCGCCAUCUUCGCAACGUGCUAGUGCCUCCUCUGUGCACAGUGUUGUGGGAGGAUCAAAGAAUCAACUUAUGGACUGCAGCGCUACCAGUCCCAUGAAGAAUGUAGUCCCAACAAGGAAGAAUAAAGGCCCUCGUGUUUCACCUGAUGAUCUUGUAAUUACUUCAAUCUAAUGGUGCUUUCAGUUCUAACAGUUCUAUAAAUGUGUUUAUUUUUUGCUGACAAGUCCAUAAACUAUUUGUGUAGGUUGGAAAGGAGGUCACAUUAUAUGCCAUGUUGCGACCAGAAAUUGUGGGUAAGGCGGUUGUUAUUUCAACAAAUCCAACCAAUGUACUAGGAGGCCAAGCUCUAGGAAGGCUAUUUUGUGAAGGUUGUGAUCAAAAGGGAUACAAUGCUACCUCGCCCUUAUGGUGGCAUUGAGACUUUGGCUGAUGCUAAGUCAAUGCCAGUUCAGUGGCCAUACAACAGGGUAAUAGACUAGACAAGACUUUGUUUCUUUUAUUCAUAUGUGGUAAGUUAAUAAAGUGUCUAAUUACUGAUAUUUCUUACAGUUGAAGGUUAGCAUGACAUCACAUUCAUCCCAGUCUACAGGUAUGUUUUUUUCCUCAACAUGACUUUCACCAAACUGCUAUUUGUGAGACUAAUAUAAGUUUAAUCUAGAGAUAUUUUUAAAAAAAAACUGCUCAUACUUGUGGUAUGUUGGUCUUGUAGGAGGGGAUGUCCAGAAAACGCACUGAAGCAGAUGGAGAUGUGACCUGAUCAUUUUGUGGUGACCUGAUCAUUUUGUGAGGUGGCAAAACAUCGAUGAUCCAUGUUGCUGUGUAUGGGAUGCCAUACCAUUUUGUAAAGUACUGCUUGCUCAUGGAUGUUGGUUCCUUUGUUGCAUGAUGUUAGAUUAUGAAAAGAACUCCAAGGACAUGCCUGUUAGUUGUGUUCUCACAUGAGCAUGUUAGUUGUAGUAUGCAAUGCAGACUUGUUAGUUGUGUUGUAACAUGGGCAUGUUAGUUGUGGUGUGUACAAGGCAAACUUAUGUCAUUGUUGCGAACAUCAUUGUACCCAUGGCUGUUAAAUGUGUCAUUUGUUUGGCAUGAAUGAAAUACUCCUAUGUUAUGACUUAUUCUAUGUCUGACAUUGAAUGUGAGCUUCUAUAUAUGUUUAAAAUGUCAAACAGUGAUGCAUUUGAUAAAGCAGGAUUGAAAAUAUGUAUUUGGCUCAUGUGAUCAUGGCGUUUGAUUAUUAGUUGGUAUAGUUCCUAUUAGCCUUGGUACUUUGGACGGUAUAACAUAUAUAUGCCAUCAGCACUUUGGUCGGUAUUUGUUCAUCGAAUAAUCAAACCAUCGGUCUCUAAAAACAUGUCGGUCGCUAUAGCCUAUACCGACACCAUAUUCAGCGUCAGCUAUUAAGUGUCGCCAUAGAUCUGUAGCGACCGAUGGGACGUCUCUAUAUCGAUAUAUAACGACCCAUCGUGCAACGUUACUCUUGGGCUGUGGUGUAGUGUAUCCCACCUUAUUCGCUCUCUACUUUUGGAUAGCCUACCUCACUAGCCAUCCUUUACAGAAUCUAUUGGAGGACUACUAUUUUUUAAUUAAAUCUAUUUUAGAAAGUAGCUAAAUCAGUAAAUUUGGGCUAGUCUUUUUGGCUAAUCUCUUGGAUCCGAGAGUCUUUCUAAAUCUCACUCUCUAAAUCAUCAUUUGGAGAGCUAUUUGCAUAAAAAUCGUUUUCUAUAUAUCUUUUCACUCUCCAACAGUUUUGCUAAAUCUCAUGCGCACUCUAGAUAGUCAUUUUUGUCUUCUAUAUUUGGCUAGCGAAUAAUCCAGAAUAAACAAUACCUAUAUGGAUGACCAUUGAGAGAAACUGUUGGAGGAUAGUUUUUCACUAAAACCUUUAUUCCUAACAUUUAGAAAGAAUAUAGAGAGUCUCUUGGAAAUACUCUUAGGGGUACAUAUAUGGUGAAAAUCUAGAGAAAAUCACUGUUUUCACAAAAUUUGAGGGGUGCAUUGCACCUCCUAAUUAAGCUUUGUUUAGUUCCACCCAAAAACCCAAAAUUUUUCAAGAUUCCCCGUCACAUAGAAUAUUUAGACGCAUGCAUGGAGUAUUAAAUAUAGACGAAAUAAAAACUAAUUACACAGUUUGGUCGAAAUUGAUGAGACGAAUCUUUUGAGCUCUAUAGUUGGAUAAUAAUUAUCACAAAUAAAUGAAAGUGCUACAGUGUCACGAAAAUUUUCCCUUCAGGAACUAAACAAGGCCUUACUACCUACCUUUGCCUCUAUAUACGGAUAUACCAAAUACUUGUCUCUCAAAGAACUCUGUUUUUGUCCAGGGUGACGCAGAGGAUGGAAAUGAUCGAGAGUAGACCCUUUUUUUUUGCGAGUGGUUGUCUGGUCGAUGCUUUGCCUAAAAUGUUCGCAAGAGCCAUUGGAAGGUGUCUAGAAGCUUUGUCAUGCACAGCUACAGCCCAAAUAUGAGUUUCUCAUAUACUAUACUAUAAUAUAUGAGGUUAGUAGGAGGGAACAUCAAAAGCCAUUAUUAGCCUGUUUUUAUUUCUUGAACAUAGUCAUUCGAUUAUGUUGCUGAUAUCGUGAUAUUUCCAAUUAAUCAGUGCCAACUUUCUCAUCCUUUCUGAAGUACAAUGAAAAGGACCACAUUCAUGUGAUCUUUUCAUCAGUUACGAGAGGUCUCUCCAGACAAACUCAGUGAUUAGUAGGCCAACAAUUUCAAAAUUUUGUAAGAAGGCUUAAUUAUUUUAUUUACAUUGGUAUAUUUUGUAAAACUGUAAACUCUCCUGCAAGAGCAACAAGAACUUGUGGGAAUACUGGUACAAAACUGAGGGUUAACAAUUUCUAACGCUAAAACAUAUGAAGUAAAUCCGCUACUUAAAUUCUAUGAAAAUUUACACUAUGUACAAAUUGUGCAGCAAAAAGAAUUAAAAAAAACGUCGACAGCAGGAUUCGAACCUGCGCAGGCAAAGCCCAACAGAUUUCGAGUCUGUCUCCUUAACCACUCGGACAUAUCGACGAUUCGUUGGGGUGCAGCAUUCCAGAACAUUUAUAAGAGAGUAUUAUUCCUCCGGAUCAUUCGGCUAUAUAUGCCAAUCACACCUACUCUGGAAGGUUGCCGCCAGUGAUUCCAAAGCGAACGUCCGUAAAAGUAGUGCUGUAACAAUAUCUAACCCCCAAAAGGCAACAAAACAAUGCCAACCAUGGUAUCGUAAAUUAAAAUAACAGAAUUUGGUCUUUAUUGAACUUCCUCAAGCUAUAAUCAAGUUUAAACAAACCCUGCCCAGCUUUGCUUGCCUUCGAGCACAUACUCGCCAAAUUCCACAUCAGAUAAGGCUGGUACAAAGGCAUCCACUGCUAACUGUAAUAAUAACUCAGACGAAAGGGGGGGGCAUAAAAUGUGACAUCAUCAUUUCUUCUGCUUGCUCGACACAUUCAGCUGCUGGAGGUUGAGCAGCAGGUCGUUGGAGUCCAGGAAC